CAUCAUCUUAGGACCCACCGAAUUAUAGCACUUCCAAACGAGGUUAAAAACCGGGGAGUUCUGCCGAGCAAUACACAAGCAAACCAACACGUUUUGCUUCAUGUUUGAGCUGAUAGAUAUCUAGCUCCAACACCGGAGAGUCUCUCUAACCAGAAAAAGACUCUGAACCACCUCCAAUUAUGCCGAGACUAACCUCAUCACCUCCUCAUGAAUGGGUCAACAUCUAUCUCCAUUGAAGCCUUUUCUUUUCAUCGGUAAACUUAAUCUUACCGAUUGGAAUUACCUCUUUGGAUAUUCUUUCUAAUAAUAAUGGAAUCGGCAAUAUUAUGGCUCCAUGAGUGGCGCCAUUUACAAUAUUUCUUGUUUCCAAAUUCUUUUAUGCUCCGUAUGGUUUGGCCUUCGAUCAGUUUUAUCAGGCCAUCGGCUAGAAGCAAGUAGAAAGUCUCAUCCAUUUUGUUUACAUGAAUUGAGUAAUACCAAGUAUCUUUCGCCUUGAGCAUGAUGUUCUCCUUCAACUUCUCUUUAACUCUAUGCUGGCCUGAAUACUUGACAAAUAUAUGACUUGUCGAUAACCAUUUUAGCUACUGUUAUCUUAGCAUAUUCUCCUUGGUCUAGAUCAUCCUUAGGUCCAUACCUCUCUACGAAGGUCACAACAUAUUUGUCCGGCUUCUUAUCUUUUUCCUUCAACAAAUUUUCAUGCCCAAUUUGCCUUUGCUGCUAAUUGGAAAAGGUCAUUGUAUAGUUGCCCUUCCAAUCUGUCCCUCAACAUGAUUUUCAGGCUACUAAAAGUUAUUUCAGCAAAAGAUAUUUUUGUGAGUGUUAUAAGACAUUGAUUUCUCGCUCUUUUGAAUCUAGACGUAAACUAAUUUACCAAUAUAUUGUUCUGCCAUUUAAAGCAGCCAAAACCGCGAUAGACACAUAUUCAGCAUCUUCUAUAUCUAGUGCUACUUCGUCACUCAUGAUGAAGCUCGAAUUGAAGACACUUGAAUCAAAAUAUUGAGCAUCUACGGACUUCCGCAGCAAUUGUCUUUAUUCAUGUACAUGAAGUAUUUCAUGUGUCUUUUGAUAUAACUCUUUGGUGAGUCAAAAUAAGUUUGCCACAGAAGCAUUAGGAGUAGUAAAUAAGAGUUCCUCUGUUUCGUGUGUCUACAUGUGCUUGAAGCACGCCAUAGGCAUUGUUUGUCUCUUGUUGAGAUCUGUGAUAAUCUUCUCCAUAGGCUAUGAUGAUAUCCUCUCCGUCUGAAUUCUUCUGUUUCGCGUGUCUACAUGUGCUUGAAGCACGCCAUAGGCAUUGUCACACCCCGAUUCACAAGAAGAAGGGCAUGACGCGGCCAUCCUUUUACCAAAGGAUGCAGCCUCAACGUAACCAAAAUUCAGCCCAAUAUCAACAUAUAUACAUCCACACACACACACACACACACACACACACACACACACACACACACAUAUAUAUAUAUAUAUAUAUUUGACAAAAGGGGCAAUUUGUUACAAUAUCAAAGUAUAUCUAUAAUCCACAAAAAUCAAAACUUGAACCUUCUACAAAGACUAACUUAUAAACUUAUCAACUAUGCAUAAGCCAUACCCAAAAAUUUCUACCACAAAAGUCCUCCCCGAACGAACGCUCACGCUUAUUCGCGACUCACUGAAGAACCUGAAAAACAAGUAGAUGAGAGGAGUGAGCUACCACGGCUCAGUGAGUAACACAUUUCUUCUAAGCGGAUCGAGAAAUCACUAUGCACAUUUUAAAACACAAACAUAACUCACUUUAUCAUAAUACCAAGUCAUAAUUCAAAUACCGAAAGUACCAACGGUCGAGUUCAUUAGUCAAUCUCGUAAAACAUGCAUCAAUGAUCUAUUCCAUUGAUUAAUCUCAUCAAAUCAUAUUGAUGGUCCACUCCAUCGAUCAAACUCAAAUCAUACGUCAAUGGUCCACUCCAUUGACUAAUUCAUACUCAAAUGUCUAACCAUGGUCACGCGUAACGCCAGUGACAAAACGAUCAAGAUUCCCCGCUUGACAAGGUCUCCACCUAUUAUUAGCUGGUGGCUCGGCUCACAAGGAUAUCCUAGAAUAGUAUGCGCAUACUCACACCCCUCAAGGUCCACAGAGACAUUAAGCACCAACCACCAAUCACAAUAUCCAGUAAUCCAACGUCAAAAAAGAAAUCAUAUCACAACUCAAAAUUUGAUAUAUAAAUAUCAAAGCAUUCUUCAAAACAUUUCAAGAAUCUUUCACAAAGAUCUUCACAAAUCCUUUUUUUUAAGGGAUAAGUGUUCCAGAAGUCCUAGAACUUGCAAAAAGUACAUUUAAGUCCUAAAACUUGUUAAAUUGUUUCAAACGACUCCUAAAAUCUGAGAUAGCUAGUAUAAUCACCUAGAGGGGGGUGAAUAGGUACAUAAACAAAUUUUCGAGAUACGGAAGCGAUUUUAAGCAAUCGAUAGAAAGGAAAAUACGAUCAAGGUAGAGUAGAGGAUAGGGAAGAGAGAACUGAAUACAAGAUUUAUAGUGGUUUGGCUUAUUCCAAGCCUACGUCCACUCUUCCGCACUGACAGCCCACUGGCUGGAUUUUACUAUGAACAAAAGAGAAGUUACAGCACAACUUUUCCUUGAUUCCACAGUGUAGAUGUUCUACCACACUUCCUCAAGGUUUCUCACGAGUAUAGACUCUCUUUUGUUUACACGAUUAUGCUCAACAAAUGAAUUGACUAGAAACAAGGAGCUUCAGACUUUGGAAUUCUUCUCUCGUACACCUUCUCGAACAACUAGAACAUCUUCCUUAUAUACUCCUUCAUGCCAUCAUACCCGUUGGCACUUACCAAAGGAAUUCCUCCAAUCUACCCGUUGGACCUUCCAAGUAAACUUUGCCAAUCAUCGGAUCCUUAAUAUUCGAAUCAAUUGUGAUCAAAUAAAGAAUUCCGUUAUGUCACAUCCAGCCAAGAGAUCUUCUCCAGUCGAUAAUGCCAUAUCCUUAAUGAAACAUCCAGUUCUGGAUAGCCUUUCUUCAACGGAUUAGAGACUGUUGAGUCUUGAGUCUGGCUGUCCGGAGGUCUUCAGACUUUAAAUAGUAGAGUCUGCAAUCCUUCAGACUAGACUGAUGGAAACGUUUUGUCAACUUCAAAACACUUCAAGAGGAAUUUCUCCAACAAUCUCCCCCUUUUUGAUGGUGACAAAACUUUCCUGCAGAUUUGGAAAACUUUGACCUGCAAAACAUUUCUCAAGCACAUAUGCAUAUCUUAUAGAUUAAAAUGGCUAAAUGAAUAACACUAGAAUCUGCAACCACAGAAAAUAGGUUAGUUCAGUAUGUAGUAAACCCAUCCAUAAGACAUCAAUAGUAGUUAAUAAGCAGUCGAAUCCAAAUCCCAAAUUUAGUCCACAUCCAGACACAAGUCAAGUCAAAACAAACCACCAACCAAACAAGCCAAAAAUUUAAGUUCAAAGUUUUUCAAGUUGCGACUAAAUUCUCCCCCUUUUUGUCAGCAUAAAAAGGUUGAGAUGAAAAUGAAGUCAAGGAUUCUUGGGAAUACGAACAAGCUGAAAAUCUCCCAUCGAUUGAACGAUGCCUUCUAGCCUUUUAAAGUCUUCCUUCAGCUGAGCAACAUCCUCACCCUUAGCAUUAGCCUGAAUCUGAAGAGAAAAUGCUUGGAUUUGAUCAUUUAAUGAACCCGAAGAGACUUGUCCUGCAUUCUGCAAGUUCUGAACUUCACAUCCCAAUGCAUAUAUCUGACCUUGCAUUUCCAAGAGAAUAUCCAUCACUCUGCGAAAGUCUGCUAAAUUUUCGGUCUACGUACUGGCAUUAGCACGAUCUGAUGGAGUAAAUGCAGACGAUGGCAGAUCAGCAUAAUCAUGCAGAUUUGGCGAAGAAACGUCAUGACCUUCCUCAGGAAACUGAGAGGCAAAAACCUCCUCUGGAUCUGCUGGGGAUCGACUGACUCCCUCACUGGUUGCAGGAUUUGAGGUCAUUCCUAUUUUCUCUUGGUCUCCCCCUGUGUCUAUGCCUUCAGGUGGAGAGCGCUCCUCAUGUUCUCCUUCUUCUUGAUCUCUUUGCUCUUCUUCUUCUUUUUCAACUCUCUCUUGCUCAGCAUUUCUUUCUUCUUCUUCUUCUCUUUCCUCUGUUUCUUUUUCAUCUGCCUCUUUCUCUGCUCUUUCUUCUGUCUGUUGUUCUAUCUCUUUCUCUGGAACAGAUUGACUGAGAUUCUUCAAAGCAGAGAUAGUGAUGUUAUCCUCAUCAUCUUCAUCCUCAACGAGGAGAGCUCUUUUUCUCUUGGAUGGAGCAUCCAUGGGCUCCUUCCCUUUCCUUUUUUUUCUGCAGAAGAGAAUUGAUGAGAUUUGACUGGAGUCUUCUCCUUAAAUUUCUCCAAUGCCUUGCUUAGUUCUUUCAGACGCAUAUUGGUCACCAUUUUCAGUCCUACCACCUUAUGAUCGCACGAUCGAGCACAAAGAAUUUGCGGAGGCUGAAUGUUUAGAUGUUUGAAUAACUUUGUUACAAGACUUGGAUAAGGAAGUUGUCAUAUGUCCUUCAUCACAGCUCUAUACAUAUGGAACAUAACAGUGUGAGGAAGUGAAAACCUUUUCCCAUUGAUGAUGGCAUACAUUAGCUUUGCCUCUGAACUUGAGACAUCAGUCUUGGAAGUUGAUUUCGGUCUGAGGCAAUUAAUUACAAUUUUGUGUAGCAAGAUGUUCAAUGCACUCAUCCUUGAAUAGGAAAUCUUUCCCUCUGUGUUCCUGUCUUUAACAAGUUCCAGAGUAGUACGAGCAAUAGAAACUUUGAUCCGUUGAUACCUUCCUCUCUCAACUCUUAACACAUCUGCUAUCAUAUCCAUAUCCACAACAAAGUCUUGAUCUUUGACACUGAAGGAGAAUCUAUUCGCAUCCAAGAAACUAAGAUUUGAAUAGAAAUAUGCAGAUAGUUGAGGAUAGGCCUAUGUGGAGUCAGAGCAGAAUUUCUUAAGUUGAAGAUGACCAAACUUUUCCCUUAAGUUCACAUUUACAGCAUCCAGAAAGUCAAAAUCUACACUCCUAGGGUUUAUCACCCCACGCUUCAGCAAUUUUGAGUAUAGAUCCAUCUGUUCCUUCGAUCUAAACAACUCUCCCAUUUUUCCUCGAUUUUCCGCCGCAAUUCCCAUUCUUGGCUGAAAUUCGCUGUAUAAUUUGUCAUCAUCAUUUCCAUCCACCGGAUUAACUCCCCAAUCACGAGGGUCACUUGGGAUAUUCGCAAGGGAUUCUUCUGCCACACCCUUACGAGCAAUUCCCAAACUUUCCAUUUUUCGCAAAAAGAUAUAUUCAUUUCCAUAUCCUUUGUUCUUAAGAAAAUCAUCCACAUAGUUCAACAGAGUACCAGUCCCUUUUAAAGCACGAUACAGCUUAUAAAUAAAAGAGGGCCUUUGAACUCUUACAGGGUCUGCAUCUUCAAUGAUUUCUUCAUUUUGAUGAUGAUCAACAUCUUGAGGACUAGAUGGAGGAGAAUGACGCUGCUGAGAAUGUUGUGGGCUCUGCUGCUGAUUUGGAGACACUUCUUCUUCUGUGAGGUCGAAGUGCGUAGCCCCUCACUCAUUCGCCGUGGUCCCCUGCUUGCGAUCCUCGAAGACUUUCUUGAAGACGACAUCUUUCUUAGUCUGUGAAAGAUUCCUUGCUUGACUUUCCCAAGAAAGAUGACAACUUUUUCGAAGAUUAAACAAGAGAAGAAAACAUGAAUGGAAGAUUGGUGCUUUUUAGGGUUUUGGAGUUAAGCGAGGAGAAACCGAUUAUAUAUAAGGCAGUCGUAAGGAGGGAAUACCAACCGUCGUAAUGGUAAGUGAAAAAAAUGCAUUUUUUAAAAAUAACUGCCUUUUUCGAAAAAUAGUUACAUCAAAAUAACUUCUUUUUCUAAAGGAAACGAUGCAAUAAUUUCGUCAAUUAAAGAUAGCGAUUGAGAUAAUCAACACGGUUGACCAACGUACCUUUUCAAAAUGAGAUUAGAGAGAGAAUAAUUUACAGUCAAAGUCUUGCAGUCAAAGUCUUGCAGUCAAAGUCUUAUAGUCUGAGUAUGAGAGUCUCUAGACUUUAACUUCUUCAAAGUUCAAAAUGUUGAGUCUUGAACGGAUAAUUUCAAAUUGAUUUUUCUCCAAAGGCUUUGUAAAUAUAUCCGCCAGUUGGUUCUUUGAGUCAACAAACUGAAUCGAAAUUUCUCCAUUUUGAACAUGAUCUCUAAUGAAGUGAUGUCGAAUCUCUAUAUGCUUUGCUCUUGAGUGAAGAAUUGGAUUUUUGGUGAGAUUGAUUGCGCUGGUGUUGUCACAUUUAAUCUUCGUGCAUGAAUCUUCAAUUCCGAAAUCUCUUAGCUGUUGUUUUAUCCACAGAAUUUGUGAACAGCAACUUCCAAGAGCUACAUAUUCUGCUUCUGCUGUAGAGAGAGCUACUGUACUUUGCUUUCUUGAAAACCAAGACACUGCCCUGCCUCCAAGUAGUUGACAGGUACUUGAGGUGCUCUUUCUAUCAACUCUGCAUCCGGUUAAGUCUGCGUCUGAGUAUCCAAGAAGAGUAAAGUCUCUCCUUUUAGGAUACCAGAGACCGAAGCUUGAAGUUGAUGCAAUAUAUUUGAUAAUACGCUUUGCAGCAGUUAAAUGUGAUUCUUUAGGGUCUGCUUGAAAUCUGGCACAAAUGCAAACACUAAACAAAAUAUCAGGUCUAGAAGCAGUAAGAUAAAGAAGUGAACCAAUGAUACUCCUGUAUAACUUUUGGUCGACUUUCUUUCCUCCUUCAUCUUUAUCUAUCUUCACGGAGCUUGACAUUGGUAUAUCAGACUUUUUGCAAUUGUUCAAUCCAAACUUCUUCACAAUAUCAUUAGCAUAUUUUUCUUGAUAAAUAAAAGUUCUUUCCUUCAAUUGUUUUACUUGAAGUCCAAGAAAGAAGGUUAACUCACCCAUCAUGCUCAUUUCAAAUUCAUCCUACAUAGUCUUAGAGAAUUUCUUGCACAGACUUUCAUUAGAGGAUCCAAAAAUAAUAUCAUCGACAUAUAUUUGAACAAGUAGAAAACUCUUGCUUUCUCUUUUAAUGAAAAGAGUAGUAUCUACUUUACCUUUAACAAAUCCAUUUUCAAUUAAAAACUUACUCAGUCUGUCGUGCCAAGCUCGAGGAGCUUGUUUCAAGCCGUAUAAAGCCUUUUUGAGUCUGAAUACUGAGUCUAGUUUCUUUGGGUCUUCAAACCCAGGUGGUUGUUCCACAUAGACUUCCUCUUGGAUGAAUCCAUUUAGGAAGGCACUUUUGACAUCCAUUUGGAAUAACCUGAAAUUCUUAUAACAAGCAAAAGCAAGUAAUAAUCGAAUUGCUUCUAACCUUGCUACUGGUGCGUAAGUCUCGUCAUAGUCUAUCCCUUCUUCUUGUGUAUAUCCCUUGGCCACGAGUCUUGCAUUGUUUCUUAUGACUUUUCCUUUCUCGUUCAUCUUAUUCCUGAAAACCCAUUUAGCUCUAAUAACAGAUUUACCUUUCGGUUUAGGAGUUAAUUCCCAGACAUCAUUAACUCUGAAUUGCCUGAGCUCUUCUUGCAUAGCUUCAAUCCAGCUUUCAUCAGAUAAAGCUUCUUCUAUGCUUUUGGGUUCUAUUUCAGAAAUAAGAGCCACAACACUAGACUCUUCGCGCCUUUUGGAUCUUGUGCGAAUUCUUUCAUUGAUGUCGCCAAUAAUAAGAUCUUUGGGAUGACUGGACUUAUGUUUCCAAUUGCUGAUUAAUUUGUCAGAUUGAUGAUCACUUUCUUCACUUGAAUCUUCAACAAUCACUUGUUGCUGGUCCUUCAAAGUCUGAGGUAUUUUAGACUUUGUAAAGUCUGGAGCAGGUUCAGAUUCUUCGAGAUGAGUCUGAAUGGAUUCAUUUUGCAUAGAAUCCUGGAAUUUAACAUUCAUUGAUUCUUCCACUAUUUGAGUCUUCUUGUUGUAGACUCUGUACGCUUUGCUUGUGGUUGAAUAUCCAAGGAAGAUGCAUUCUUCUGAUUUUUCUUCAAACUUUCCAACUCGAUCAUUUGCUUUUUUCAGUAUAAAACAUUUGCAUCCGAAUACAUGAAAAUAUGAAACAAUAGGCUUCUUUUCUUUGAAUAGUUCAUAGGGAGUUUUUUCCAGAAUAGGCCUUAGAAAGACUCUAUUUAUAAUGUAACAUGCUGUAAAAACUGCUUCAGCCCAAAAAUGUGAAGAGAUGUUACUUUCAAUUAGAAGAGUUCUAGCCAUUUCUUGAAGAGAUCUAUUCUUUCUUUCCACAACUCCAUUUUGCUCUGGGGUAUAUGGAGAGGAGAAAACAUGCUGAAAACCAGAUUCAUCACAAAAUUUUGUAAAGUCAUGAUUUUCAAACUCACCUCCAUGAUCUGUUCUUAUACUCGAUAUAACAUACCCUUUUUCAUUUUGACCCUUUUUAGCAAACUUUUCAAAGUGAGAGAAGGUUUCAGGCUUACUUGCCAAGAAAUAUACCCAAGUGAAUCAUGAGUAAUCAUCCACAAUUACCAGGCAGUAUUUCUUACCUCCAAUGCUUUGCGUUCUGGUUGGUCCAAAAAGAUCCAUAUGCAAAAGCUGCAGUACACGGUUAGUGGAAACUUGAUUUAUUGGUUUAAAGGAAUUUCUUACCUGUUUUCCCAAUGUACAUGGUGUACAUAGAUCAGACUUUUGAUAUGAUAAAUUGGGUAGUCCUCGAACAAGCUUCUUUGCUGAGAUUUUGGCUAUUUGCUUCAUAUUGACGUGCCCAAGCUUUCUGUGCCAUAAGUUUGCUUCGUCUUGGAUUGAGAUUAGACAUUAUGAUUCAUCUGGUUUCACAUCCAGGAGGUAGAUAUUUCCAUGUCUUCGACCCAUGAAUGACUGAGUAGAAUCUCUACUAAUUCCAGAACAUAUUCCCUAUUGAAAGUUGAUUUUGAAACCAGUAUCACAUAGCUGACUAAUACUGAGUAAAUUGUAAUUGAGCCCUUCUACUAAGGAAACAUUGCUGAUUUUGAGAUUUCCAAUCUUUACAGUUCCAAAUCCCACAAUUUUUCCUUUGCUGUUUCCUCCAAAAGAAACUUUUCCACCAUUCACUUGAACAAGCUUUAUGAAGUAAUUUGAGUCUCCUGUCAUGUGUCUUGAGCAUCCACUAUCAAGAUACCAUUUUACCUUUUUCUUGAUAGUGACCUGCAUUUAAAAAAGAAACUCAAGCCUUCUUUGGUACCCAUAUUUUCUUGGGUCCAUUGGUGUUAGUAUGAUAUGCAGUUUUUGCCCAUACCUUUUUAACAGGUUUCCAAAUCAUAGGACAUUCUUUUUCAAAAUGAUCUACACUAUUGCAUUUUGAGCAUCUGAGAGCAUUACGACCUACUGGUUUUACAAAGUUUCUUUUAAAAUGAUUUUUGUAAGCAUCUCUUGUGGGUCUUUGUUUGAUUCUUUCUUUCACCUUAGGAAAAUCAAUUAAAGGAAUGGUUUCAUCAGUCAUUCCCAAACCAAAUUUAUUAAAAUAAGGUCUUUGAACAUAAAGAAUUUUUUCUAGUUUCUCAGAUCCUAUAGAAAAUCUUUUGGAAAUAUUUGAGAUAUCUCUUUUUAAGAAUGCAUUUUCUUUUAACAAAUUAUCUUCACUUUCUUUAAGAGAAGAAACAUUCUUGUCUAAACUUUUCACUUUUUCUUUCAAAAUAUUUUCCUGUUGUUUUAGAGCAGAACUUUCUUUCUUGAGUUCGGAAAUUCUUUUAAGAGAAGUCUUAAGACUGAAACACAAUUCAUCUAUAUAUUUUGAAACCUUAAUAGGGAUUUUGAAAUUACUUACUUCAAAUUCGCUUUCUGAGUCUGAAUCUAUCUUGGAAUUUGAAUCUGAAUCCGAUUGUGCCAUCAGACAUAUAUUGGCAUAAUCAUCAUCAUUUUCUUCACACUCUGUAUCACUCCAGGUUUCAGCUUUAAGAGCUUUUCGGUACUUUUCAGUCUUUCAUUUCUUCUUCCUCAGAAUAGGACAGUUGGGUCUGAUGUGUCCCUUUUUCUUAUAUUCAAAGCAGACUAUAUUUUUGCUUGAUUCAUCAUCCUCAACAGACUUAGUCUGUUGCUUUUGAAAGUUUUGUUUCUUUGGAUUGAAUCUUCUUCCUUUUCUGUUCAGCUUUAUGAAUCUUCUUAUCAUGAGAGCAAGUUCCUCAUCAUCCAUAUCGUCUUCAGAAUCUGUAGCAUCAGAAUCAUCAUUAGAUUUUAAUGCAAUGGAUUUCUUACCUUUAGGGUCUUCGUCUUCAUUGAUUCGUUCCACUUCAUAAGACUGAAGAGUCCCAACCAACUCAUCAACAGAUAGAGGCAUUAUUCUUUGGGUCUCUCUGAUUGAGGUCUUUAUAUGAUUCCAAUCCUUGGAGAGUCCACGCAGUAGCUUGUUUACUUUCAUGGGAUCAAAAAUUGGUUGACCUUGAUUUUCAAGACCGUUCACAAUAUCUGUAAAAUGACUAAACAUAUCAGUUAUAGAUUCUCCUGGUUUCAUUUUGAAGGCUUCAUAUUGGCCAAGGAGAAUGCUGAUUCUAGUCUCUUUCACUCGAUCGGUUCCUUCAUAAGUAAUAUGUAAUAUAUCCCAGACUUAUUUAGCUGUAACACAAGAAGAUAUUCUGUUAUAUUCAGUAGGAGAUAAAGCACAAUAUAAGGAAUAAAUUGCUUUUGCAUCGAGAGCUUGUCUCUUGAUUUUCUCUUCCUGAGUCAUUUCGCUAGACUCAACAACAUCUUUUCCUCUUUCUGAGACAAAUGCAGCUUUAGGAAUGAUUCUUUUUUCUACAACGCUCCAUUCCAGAGGAUCCUUUGAUCUUAGGAAUGCUUUCAUCUUGUUCUUUCAUAUGUUGUAAUCCUUUCCAUCAAAGUAUGGUGGUCUGGUGUUGCUUUGCCCUUCUACCAGCCCUGGAGCCAACAUACUAGCCAUGGAUCUUUAACUCUGAAGUAAAACACUUCAACAAAAGUGAGUACACAGGCUCUGAUACCAAUUGAGAUAGCUAGUAUAAUCACCUAGAGGGGGGUGAAUAGGUGCAUAAACAAAUUUUCGAGAUACGGAAGCGAUUUUAGGCAAUCGAUAGAAAGGAAAAUACGAUCAAGGUAGAGUAGAGGAUAGGGAAGAGAGAAAUGAACACAAGAUUUAUAGUGGUUCGGCUUAUUCCAAGCCUACGUCCACUCUUCCGCACUGACAGCCCACCGGCUGGAUUUUACUAUGAACAAAAGAGAAGUUACAACACAGCUUUUCCUUGAUUCCACAGUGUAGAUGUUCUACCACACUUCCUCAAGGUUUCUCACGAAUACAGACUCUCUUUUGUUUACACGAUUAUGCUCAACAAAUGAAUUGACUAGAAACAAGGAGCUUCAGACUUUGGAAUUCUUCUCUCGUACACCUUCUCGAACAACUAGAACGUCUUCCUUAUAUACUCCUUCAUGCCAUCAUACCCGUUGGCACUUACCAAAGGAAUUCCUCCAAUCUACCCGUUGGACGGAAUCAAUUAGGAAGAUCAUUCGAGCUAUUAAAGGAACAUGUCGAUUGCCCAUCAAUCCUGUUCGCCCAUACAAUCAGGAUCUCGGUUUCCAUAAGUAGAACCUUCCAAGUAAACUUUGCCAAUCAUCGGAUCCUUAAUAUUCGAAUCAAUUGUGAUCAAAUAAAGAAUUCCGUUAUGUCACAUCCAGCCAAGAGAUCUUCUCCAGUCGAUAAGGCCAUAUCCUUAAUGAAACAUCCAGUUCUGGAUAGCCUUUCUUCAACGGAUUAGAGACUGUCAAUGAGGAUAGACUUUGAGUCUUGAGUCUGGCUGUCCGGAGGUCUUCAGACUUUAAAUAGUAGAGUCUGCAAUUCUUCAGACUAGACUGAUGGGAACGUUUUGUCAACUUCAAAACACUUCAAGAGGAAUUUCUCCAACAAAAUCGACGUCGUUAGCCUUUUCCGUUACAAAUGCUAACGUGGCAUUUUAAAUAAUUUUUAUUUCCGCGUGGAAUUUUUUAAUUAUUUUUUUAAAAUUAGAUUUAAAAAUUAAAAAGAUUAGAUUUAUUCAUUUUAUCUUAUUUUCACUAAAAACUAAAAAAAAAAAUUUAAAAAAAUUAUUUUUUUAAAUGAAUAAAAAUAAUUUAAAAAUACACGUGGAAAAUAAAAAAUUAUUUAAAAUACCACGUCAGCAUUUUUAACGGAAAAGGCUAACGGCGUCGAUUUUAGGGCUCAUUUGAAACAAUUUGACAAGUUUUAGGACUUAAAUGCACUUUUUGCAAGUUUUAUGACUGAAACGUAUUUUCAUGACAAGUUUUAGGACUUCUGGAACACUUAUCCCUUUUUUUAAACAACCAUUCAAAUCAAUGUCAAAAUAUAACUCCCUUCGAACAACAAAAAUGUUAGUAAUAGCUCAAUCUUGUUUUAUGCAACAAAAUAUGCUUUUUAUCAUCUCAUAGAGUAUUUAAUCCACCAUGUUUCUCAAAACAUGAGUUUAAAAUACAAAAAGAAUUAGUGUCAUUCACCUGGGAAAAGCCAAAAAUCAACUACCACGUUCAUACGAACCAACGCAUUCGGAUUCCUAACAAUUAACGGAAAAAUAAUAUUAAAAGGCCGAGUAAAAAGAUAUUCUUAUAACAACUCGCCUAUACUAGGCCUAUUAGUCGAUAAAACGACACCUACGCGCCCCAAAAGCUCACAAUUUAGCAUAAACCCAUCAUUUUCAGCUAGGCGCAGCCCAUGCGCCAACUUCAUCAUGCCAUAACUUCCUCCACAAAAUUCCGUUUCAAGCCGUCUUAUAGUCUUUAGAAAGCUCUCUUAACGUACAACAACAACCCCUACUCAGCCGCCCCAAAACAGUACCGAAAUCAACCAAAAAAGAGACUCGAAGCCACUGUUCGCUACAGUAUCAGAUUGCGCCCCCAACUUCAAAAUUCCGUUCCGAGCAAACCGCAAGCUCAAAUCACGAUCCAUAAAAUGCUAUAGCUUCACAACAUCCCAAAGUACUAUUUCUAAAAAAUAUACAGCUUAACAACUCAAAAAUCGGGCUUCGCCACACAAAUACCCAAGAAAUCCGAAUUUCGAGCCCUAAUUGCGGCGAUUGCUUCAAGUAAGUGAUUAAAGGCUUCAAUUUCUUACCAGCCUUGCAAAACACACUUGAGUCGGCUUGAUGAGGCAUCCGGAUCACGAGCGCGCCAAAUUUUUCCCCUUUUCCCUUUUUCCUUUCUCUUCUUUCUCUCUUCUCCCCUGUUUCGCGUUUUCCUCUGCUUCUGCCGGUAUUCUUCUCUUUCUCUCUUUUUAUAAUCUAGCCGAAGGUUCCACAACUCUCUUCAGCCUCCCUUUUUGACUUUUCAAACUCUUUCGUUUUAUUUUAUUUUCUUGUUUUAAAGCCCAUUAAUUACAUUCUCCCCACCUUAAAAAAAUUCCGUCCUCGAAAUUUAUAGGCACCUCAAUCAUGAAACAAGCGAGGGUAUUUACACCUUGCCUCUUCCUCGAGUUCCCAAGUGGCCUCUCUGUGUGUGUGAUUUUUCCAUUGGAUCUUCACAUAAGGAAUAGUGCGUCAUCGCAACUCUUGAUCCUUCUUAUCGAUAAUACGAAUGGGCUGCUCUUCGUACGUUAAGUUUUCUCUCAACUUCAAUGGUGUUAAAUCCAAUACGUGAUCAAGAUUUGGCACAUAUUUCCGUAAUAAGGAUACAUGAAACACAUUAUGGACUCCGAAUAAUGCUGGAGGUAAAGCUAGCUUAUAAGCAACUUCACCAAUCUUUUCUAAUAUCAAAAAUGGUCCCACGUACCUUGGGCUUAAUUUACCAGGCGUGCCAAAUCUCAUGACGCCCUUCAUAGGAGAAACCUUCAAGAAUACAUGGUCUCCUACAUUAAAUUCUACUUUGCGCCUCUUAAGGUCCGCAUAACUUUUCUGACGGCUUUGUGCUGUUUUCAAACGCUCUCAAAUGAGUCUGAUUUUCUCUUCUGAUUGUUGUAUGAAUUUAGGGCCGGUUAAUCUUUUCUCACCAACAUCAUCCCAGCAAACAGGAGUCCUACAUUUAUGCCCAUACAAAGCUUCAAAAGGAGCCAUUUUAAUACUAGAAUGAUAGAUGUUAUUAGAAGAAAACUCUGCCAAGUGUAAAUGUUCAUCCCACGAACCACCAGAGUCAAUAACACAAGAUCGUAGCAUAUCAUCCAAUGUCUGAAUAGUUCUUUUUGACUGACCAUCCGUCUGUGGGUGAAAAGCUGCGCUAAAGUUGAGUUGAGUACCUAACGCCCCUUGUAAACUCUUCCAAAAGUUGGACACAAACCUGGGAUCUCUAUCGGAAACAAUACUCACUGGAACUCCAUGAAGUCUCACUAUCUCAUUGAUGUAUCGCUUCGCCAUGUCUUCAAGUGAAAGACCAAAUCGAUAAGACAAAAGGUGUGCAGAUUUAGUCAAUCGAUCAACAAUCACCCAUAUGGCAUUCUUACCACUAGGCAUCCUCGGUAAGCCAACGAUGAAUCCAUAGUAAUAUGCUCCCACUUCCAUUUAGGUACUUCAAGUGGGUGUAGCUGACCACCUGGUUUCUGAUGCUCAAUUUUCACUUGCUGGCAAAAUUAGACAUUGGUCGACAAACUUCACAAUAUCUUUCUUCAUAUUGAUCCACCAAAAAUUUCCUCUCAAAUCCCUGUACAUCUUGGUGCUCCCUGGAUGAAUCGAGAAUCUAGUGCUAUGAGCUUCUUGUAAUAUCUCCUUUUUCAAUUCUGAAUCAUUGGGAACACAUAAUUGACCACGAAACCUCAAUGACCCAUCUACAUGGAUACUAAAGUCAUCUUGUUUCCCAACUUCUACACCUUCUUUGAUCUUCUCCAAUUGAGGAUCUUCGUUUUGUCUAACCUUGAUUCUAUCAAUCAAUGUCGGUUGUACUCGAAGAUUAGCUAAUUGAGCACCAAGCCGAUGGACCAAAACCUCCAGGUCUAGCUUUCUCAUAUCUUCAAGAAUAGGCUUUUGAGAAGUGAGCAAUGCUGCCAUAUUUCCAAAUGAUUUGCGGCUCAAGGCAUCAGCUACCACGUUAGCUUUACCUGGAUGGUAAUUGAUAGAUAAGUCAUAAUCCUUCAGAAGUUCUAGUCAUCUCCUCUGCCUCAUGUUAAGUUCUUUCUGAGUAAAAAUAUAUUUCAAACUUUUGUGAUCGGUAAAGACUUCACAUUUUUCACCAUACAAGUAGUGCCGCAUAUUUUUAAUGCAAACACAACCGCCGCCAACUCCAGAUCAUGAGUAGGAUAGUUCUUCUCAUGAGUCUUCAACUGUCUAGAGGCAUAUACCACAACUUUACCAUCUUGCAUAAGAACACAACCUAAACCUUCUUUAGAUGCAUCGCAAUAAAUUGUAAAGCCACCAGUUCCUAAAGGCAAAGUUAAUAUUGGAGCUGACACCAAUCGCCUCUUCAACUCUUGGAAACUGCGCUCACAUUGAUCUAACCACACAAAGUUAACUCCCUUAUGAGUUAGGCGAGUAAGUGGACUGGCAAUUUUAGAAAACCCUUCUAUAAAUCUCCUGUAAUAACCUGCUAGCCCAAGAAAACUUCUUACCUCCGUGACAUUGGUAGGGCGAUUCCAUUGAACAAUUGCUUCAACUUUCUUUGGAUCAACUGAGAUACCAUCCUUUGAUAUUACAUGACCCAAGAAUUCUAUACGAUCAAGCCAGAAGGCGCACUUACUAAAUUUAGCAUACAACUUCUUUUCACGCAAAGUUUGUAAAACAACUCUCAAAUUGUUCAUGUUCUCCCAAACUCCUCGAAUACACCAAACUAUCAUCGAUGAAUACCACAAUAAAUAUGUCAAGAAAUUGCCUAAAUACCCUGUUCAUUAAAUCCAUGAAAGCCGCAAGUGCAUUCGUCAACCCAAAAGGCAUGACAAGGAAUUCAUAAUGCCCAUACCUUGUUCUGAAAGCGGUCUUUGGCACAUCAUCAACUUUUAUCUUCAACUAAUGGUACCCAGAACGAAGGUCGAUCUUAGAAAAUACCUGAGUCACUUGAAGUUGAUCAAAUAAAUCAUCAAUCCGAGGUAAAGGAUAUUUAUUUUUGAUCGUCACCUUGUUAAGUUCUCGAUAAUCUAUGCAAAGUCGCAUACUACCGUCUUUCUUCUUCACAAAUAGAACAGGAGCUCCCCAAGGCGAUACACUAGGCCUGAUAAAACCCUUAUCCAAAAGCUCUUGCAGUUGUGUCUUCAAUUCAUUCAAUUCAGAAGGUGCCAUCCGAUAUGGGGUCUUAGAGAUAGGUGUUGUACCAGGCAUUAAAUCGAUGCAAAACUCUAUCUCUCUAUCAGGAGGCAAGCCAGGCAAAUCUUCAGGAAAUACAUUAGGAAAUUCUCUGACAACAUGAACAUUUUCUAGCUUUACCGGCUCCUUACUUGUAUAUUUUACACAAACCAAAUAACUGCAACAACCCUUUCUCAAAAGCUUUCUUGCUCGCAUAGCUGAAAUUCACCUUGGAAAAGUGCCUUCAUAACUUCCCGAAAAAGAGAAUUCUGGUUGAUUUGGAGGUCGAAAAAUAACUUUCUUUGAAUAACAAUCGACAGUGGCAUGAUAUUUUGAUAACCAAUCCAUCCCUAGAAUAACAUCGAAAUCUCGUAUAUCUAACUCCACCAAAUCCACAAGCAACGGUACAUCAUCAAUUCGCAACAAACAAUUCUUGAAAACACAAUCAGCAAUCAAGAAAUCACUAGUGGGAGUAUCAAUACACAAUUCAUAUUUUAGAAGCUCAGGCAAUACAUCAAGUUUCUUUGCAAAGUCAAUGGAAGUAAAGGAAUGCGUAGCACCGGGAUCAAACAAUGCAUAAGCAGGUUGUGAGGCAAUAGAAAUAUUACUUGCAACAACUGUAUUAGAAGCUGUUGCAUCCUCUCCUGUUAUCGUAAAAACUUUCCCAGUCAUCUUUGCCUUUGCUGGCCUUCUUGUGGCCUAUCAACUGNNNNNNNNNNNNNNNNNNNNNNNNNNNNNNNNNNNNNNNNNNNNNNNNNNNNNNNNNNNNNNNNNNNNNNNNNNNNNNNNNNNNNNNNNNNNNNNNNNNNNNNNNNNNNNNNNNNNNNNNNNNNNNNNNNNNNNNNNNNNNNNNNNNNNNNNNNNNNNNNNNNNNNNNNNNNNNNNNNNNNNNNNNNNNNNNNNNNNNNNNNNNNNNNNNNNNNNNNNNNNNNNNNNNNNNNNNNNNNNNNNNNNNNNNNNNNNNNNNNNNNNNNNNNNNNNNNNNNNNNNNNNNNNNNNNNNNNNNNNNNNNNNNNNNNNNNNNUGCCUUGCACAUCUCGCUCCAAAUCUUUUGUUCCACUCUGAUGGCUCAUUCCAACACAUCUUUAUAAGAUGUCAAUGCUAGAGGUGUGAGUGCCGAACCGAUUUCAUACCGGAGCCCCCUCUGAAAGUGAUCAGCUUUAUCUUGCUCAUUAGACACAUAUUGCUCAGCAAAUCUACUCAUCUGAUUAAAGCGGGCUGCAUACUCCAAAACCGUGGAGUCGCAUUGAGAUAUGUGUAUAAAAUCACUCUUCAUUUUUACCUGAAAUGACACUGGGAAGAAUUGGGCGUUAAAAGCCUGCUUAAAGUCCUCACAAGCUAUAGUACCACCUCUAUCUCCAAGAGCUGGCCUCAUUCCCUUCCACCAAUGCUUUGCCUCGCCUUCUAAAUAUCGAGAAGCAAAGUUAACCUUCUUGUCUUCAGGAACAUCUUCUGCUUCAAAGAUCCCCUCGAUCUUUCUAGUCCACUACUCAACUGCAAGAGGAUCGGCCUUCCCAUCAUAAGCGGGUGGUUUCGCCUCUCUGAAUUGCGCAAAGGUGUAUGAGCCAGUUGCUCCAUCUCCACUUAAUUCCUUUGCUUGACGAUACCAAUGAAUCAUGGCUUGCUCAAAGUCACUCAAGGGAAACGACCGUUGGUUAACUUCCCUGACUUCAUGCGAGUUAUGACUUCCAUCACGCCAAUCCUCCAGUCUCCUCCUUAGAGAUGCACCUCGAGAAGCUUGAGGCGUGUCUCUAGCAUCAAGGGCGACAACUUGCUUCCCUUUACUAUUUCUACGAAGCGAAGCAAGUGUCUCUAAGUCAUGCAUGAUCACCUGAAUCCAAGAACGGAGCUACAACUUAAUAUCUAAAAAGGCUAACGCAUUAAAAAAAAUUUAUCACACAAUCUCACAUCGUCUCAUAUCUACCUAAACAAAUCAAAACCUAAGCUCUGAUACCAACAAAUGUCACACCCCGAUUCUCAAGAAGAAGGGCAUGACACGGCCGUCCUUUUUCCAAAGGACGCAGCCUCAAUGUAACCAAAAUUCAACCCGGUAUCAACAUAUAUACAUCCACAUAUAUAUAUUUGACAAAAAGGGGCACUUGGUUACAAAAUCUAUAUCAGAGUAUAUCUAUAAUCCACAAAAAUUCAAAACAUAAACCUUCUACAAGGACUAACUUAUAAACCUAUUAACUAUGCCCAAGCCAUACCCAAAAUUUCCACCACAAAAGUCCUCCCCGAACGAACGCUCACGCCUAUUCGCGACUUGCUAAAGAACUUGAAAAACAAGUAGAUGAGAGGAGUGAGCUACCAUGGCUCAGUGAGUAACACAUUUCUUCUAAGCGGAUCGAGAAAUCACUAUGCACAUUUUAAAACACAAACAUAACUCACUUUAUCAUAAUACCAAAUCAUAAUUAAAAUACCGAAAGUACCAGUGGUUGAGUCCAUUAGUCAUUCUCAUAAAACAUGCAUCAAUGGUCUAUUCCAUUGAUUAAUCUCAUCAAAUCAUAUCGAUGGUCCACUCCAUCGAUCAAACUCAAAUCAUACGUCGAUGGUCCACUCCAUUGACCAAUUCAUGCUCAAAUGUCUAACCAUGGUCAUGCGUAACACCCGUGACAAAACGACCAAGAUUCCCCCAUUGGCAAGGUCUCCACCUAUUAUUAGCCGGUGGCUCGGCCCACAAGGAUAUCCUAGAAUAGUAUGCGCAUACCCACACCCCUCAGGGUCUAUAGAGACAUUGAGUACUAACCACAAAUCACACUAUCCAGUAAUCCAACGUCAGAAAAGAAAUCAUAUCACAACUCAAAAUUUGAUAUAUAAAUAUCAAAGCAUUCUCCAAACAUUUUAAGAUUCUUUCACAAAGAUCUUCACAAAUCCUUUUUUUUAAACAACCAUUCAAAUCAACGUCAAAAUAUAACUCCCUUCGAAAAACAAAAAUGUCAGUAUUAGCUCGAUCUUGUUUUAUGCAACAAAAUAUGCUUUUUAUCAUCUCAUAGAGUAUUUAAUCCACCAUGUUUCUCAAAAUAUGAGUUUAAAAUACAAAAAAGAAAUAGUGUCAUUCACCUAGGAAAAGCCAAAAAUCAACUACGAUGCUCAUACGAACCAAUGCAUUCGGAUUCCUAACAAUUAACGGAAAAAUAAUAUUAAAAGGCCGAGUAAAAAGAUAUUCUUAUAACGACUUGCCUAUACUAGGCCUAUUAGUCGAUAAAAUGACACUUAUGCGCCCCAGAAGCUCACAAUUUAGCAUAAACCCAUCAUUUUCAGCUAGGCGCAGCCCAUGCACCAACUUCAUCAUGCCAUAACUUCCUCCACAAAAUUUCGUUUCAAGCCGUCUUAUAGUCUUUAGAAAGCUCUUUUAAUGUACAACAACAACCCCAACUCAGCCACCCAAAAAAAGUACCGAAAAAAACGAAAAAAGAGACUCGAAGCCACUGUUCACUACAGUACCAGAUUGCGCCCCCAACUUCAAAAUUUCAUUCCGAACAAACCGCAAGCUCAAAUCACAAUCCGUAAAAUGCUAUAGCUUCACAACAUCCCAAAGUACUAUUUCUAAAAAAUAUACAGCUUAACGACUCAAAAAUCGGGCUUCGCCAUACAAAUACCUAAGAAAUCCGAAUUUCGAGCCCUAAUUGCGGCGAUUGCUUCAAGUAAGUGAUUAAAGGCUUCAAUUUCUUACCGGCCUUGCAAAACACACUUGAGUCGGCUUGAUGAGGCAUCCGGAUCACGAGCGCGCCAAUUUUUUUUCCUUUUUCCCUUUUUCCCUUGUUCCUUUCUCUUCUUUCUCUCUUCUCCCCUGUUUCGCGUUUUCCCCUGCUUCUUUUCUCUUCUUUCUCUCUUCUCCCCUGUUUCGCGUUUUCCCCUGCUUCUGCCGGUAUUCUUCUCUUUCUCUCCCUCUUUCUCUCUUUUUAUAAUCUAGCCGAAGGUUCCACAACUCUCUUCAGCCUCCCUUUUUGACUUUUCAAACUCUUUCGUUUUCUUUUAUUUUAUUUUCUUUUCUUGUUUUAAAGCCCAUAUAUUACAGGCAUUGUUUCUGUCUCAUGUGAGAUCUGUGAUAAUCUUCUCCAUUGUCUAUGAUGAUAUCCUCUCUCUCUCAUCAAGGAGUUAGUGAAAUCUUAUGUUGUCUGGUUAAUGAUUUGUUUUGACUGUGUUUGACGGUCCUAUAUGCAACAUUCAAUACUAAAAUCAAUUUUCUCAGACUCGUUCUUUACUGCAACCUCUCAUAGGAGUUCGUAGUCUAAUGUCCGGAAAGCGCUCUCUUAGUGGAUAUACUUAUCGUUUUACCCUCAUCUUGCGACUGAACUAAAGUCAAUUGCUGAAUACCGAGAGUUGGAUACACAACUGCUGUUUGUGGAGACCAAGUAUCCAGUCUCGAAUCUGGAAUUAGUUCAGAUUCUACUGGAAACUUUAGCCAGAGAUGGAUUCUUUGUGGGAAAUCAUGUCAGAUUAAUGGUAACUUUAGACAAACUAUAGUAUGAUCACCCAGCUUUAGCAAAGAAUUUGUUGCUGCCUUGUUUGGAAUGAGUAGUUCAACACUCCUGUUCUCCGUGACUUUACUGCGAUUGGAUAAUAGAAUUCCAACUAUCUUGACUAGCACAAGAGCGUGAUUGUCGAGCUCCAUUACGCUUGCUUGGAUGACGAGCGCAAUAAUUAAUAGUGCGUGUGAGUAGAUACGUUCUUUGAUCUUUGCUGGGUUUUUUCUGCUUUAGUUUACACUAGAUGCUCAUUGUCUGUCACAUGUUAAAAUCUCGAAAUGCAGCGUGCCAGUGUUGACACAGGUAACAUAUUUACGUGGUUAACUAAGCAUGUCUGAGCAUGUCGAUGAUAGUUACUUGUGUAAUAUGCCUUGGCAAGAUUCCUAGAUGUGUUGGCAACUUUGCUCUGACAACUCCUAUUGAAUUAGUAAGUGUGCACUGCAUAGAAGGGAAGCGUAUGAUAUGGUCCAAGAUGAAUUCCUUCCGUGCAUCGGGUUCAUUGGGACCAUUAAUCACAGACCUCACGAUGUGCUGGAACUAGCGAUGAGGAUUGGUUUAGUUCAAUCAUGUGGACUCGAUGUCACCAAGUUUUAUCUUCCUUACUCAUCUAGAAGGCUCGAUCUGUCAUUGCCGGGUCAUCCUGUGGAGAAUUUGCCCAUGCACUCAACUCCACCAAAAGACCAAUUACAUCAGGAAACUAAUCAGAGGCUGCUCCAUUGGAGAAUAGGAGGGCACGGCGAACAUUCAAAGGUUGGCCAUUUGACUUGGGCAUUACCAAAAAAAAAAAAAAUCACCGGAGAAUAGGAGGGCACGGCGAACAUCCAAGAGAGGUCAGAUCCACAAAUGUGAACACAGAUAUUCGAUACAUGUGGUUACAUAGUUUUGAGGACGGUUGAAAUUGCAUAGGCAAGAUUGACCAACACCUGAUAAAAGUUCGUAUUUCGACCAAAAAUAAGUGACAUGAAUUCGAAUGGAUCAAAGUAUAGAAGUAAACUGCAAAUUUUGGACACUCAUAUGGAGAACUUGAGAUGAUCAUUAUCGAGUAGAUUUAAUCAUUUUGUUACUAGUGAGCAUGCGUUGAAUGAUCAAUAUCUUAUCAUUGCAUUAACUAAGUAAAAUAUAGUUAAGUCUCGUCAUCUACUAAAUUUAAUUGAUUCAAGCAUUUCUUCUUUCCUUGGAGAAAAGAAAAGAUCGUAUUACUUCUAUACAUUAGAUGACAAAUUAUAACCUUGUCCCCUUUUGAUCUCUAAAAUGAAAUUAUGAGAUUAAUACCAAUGCAACUCACCUGAAAUGUGCAUAAACACGGAUGCCGAGGAGGGCCUAGAUAGUGAAACACGAGGCCGAGACAUGAAAUGGAACUUGAUAAGGACAGACCGUCGCGAGUGAUCAAUACGCUCGACUAGAAGAAAAUAGUACAACUCCUCAUCAAUAGGGCUUUCGAAUGAUUACAUGAAGAGGGAUUAAUGGGCGGGGCCGGCCUUCAGGUUAAAUUGGCUCAUAAUCUUUAGGAUUUUCCUUUGCUAGUUGAAUUGGCCUAUCAACCCCGCUACCGCUUACUAGUAAAAGGCCCCGAUAGAAAAUUGACGGUCGAACAUUUUAAACAUCAUUUCCCCCUUUUCAGACAUUUAAAGGGGCCAGAGAGAUUCUGCCGGGGGCAUUUUCCUUGGUGGCCUUGCUUGAAGUAUAGUACAUGAGGUCGGAAUAUCAAACUCGAGACUUCAUACUUCUCGUGACGUAAAUUCUCAACCAUUGGCUUGCUCGUUGAUCCCUUUGAAUUGUUAUAGUGAAAUUGCCGUCACGUAGUUCACUUAACUUGAAUGAAACUAGGAUAAUAUUAAUGCACUCGAGUAAGAUAGGGUUCAUGUGCUAUUCACCCAUUGAAUCCAAGGCAAAUACAAAUCAAGAUAAACAAUUUCAACCAUUGAAUCCAUUUAGGUGUAAGUUGUUCGAAUAUUCAAGAUCUUGACCUCUCUCAUUUCAAAGAAUAGAGAUGUCAAUACGACCACAUGUUAAAUGGGAAAAUUAUUCAAAAAGUUAUAAAUUUAUUGUGCUUUUGCUAAUUCAGUCUUAAACCCUUUUAAUUUUCUCAAUUCAUAGUUGAGUCAAUCUAGCUAAUUUUGGCUGAAAAUUGUUAACAUGGCACUGAUAUGGAUAUGUUUAAAUAAUAUUUUGAAAUUUUUAUGAUUUUUUUUCCUUUUCUUUGCUUUUUUUUUUUUUUUUCCGAUUUUUGGAGCUAGGGUCAGUGAUGGUUGUUGGCCAACCCUCGCUAGCCACAAGCAAGGGCAUUGUGGCCCUCGCCUAGAGUCGGCCUAGAGUCAGUGAGGUGAGGAUUGGCUGGGCCUCGUUUGUGGCUAGUGAGAGUUGACCGGCCACCCUUCUCUGCCCUAACUCCAAAAAAAAAAAAAAAAAAACAAAGAAAAGGAAAAAAAGAAAAAAAAAUCAUUAGAAAUUAAAAUUACUAUUAAAAUAUAUUCACGUUGGUGUUAAUCAUGUCAUAUAAGAUGGUCGCGUCCAUACGAUCGGCGUCCACAUUAGUGAAUUCCGAUCAAAAUUAGCCGGAUUGAUUCAAUUGACAAUAUAUGAAAAUGUUUAUGAUUGAAUUGUGAAAAUUGAAAAGUUUAUGACUGAAUUGGUAAAAGUGUAAUGUGUUUAAGACUUUUUGGACAGUUUUUAUUUGAUAAAUGGUUGGUGAGUACCUUGAGAUAAAAACGUUUUUCUUUCGGCCUAAAGGGGAGAAAUUUGAUGGUUCCCGACAGGACAAAGACUAAUCGACGUUGAUUCCUUGAUUUCCUACUUAAAUCUGGGUAAGAAGACAAAUCUAGACUUCUUAUUUUUCAGUUUCUCCUGAUUAGACGUAAGUCCAUCAACUGUUCAAGGCGACCAAUUUACAAUACCACUCAUGAUGUCAGGGCUGGGAAAUUAAUUAACCAUUUCUGUUAUGAACACACCUCGACACGACAUGAAAGUAAAGAAAAGAACAAACGAAUAUAGACGGCUUGAUCAUUAUAAGAGUAGCUCGAUGGUAAAUAAAAUGAUUAAGCUCGUUCGAGCUCUACCAAUUGUGAUAGGAAACAUGCUAACAUUGUUGCAUCUCACAUGUACCAGAGCUCACUGAGUGUUAGUUACAUAAUCUAACGUUCGCACAAUAUAACGAAAAACUUCAAACUUAUAUACUUGAGGUAACUUUAUCAUAAAUUAAUUUUUUAUUACUAAAAAUCUAAAAAUCUAAAACUGAUACAUUUAUAACAAUUUUACCCCAAAUUAAUUUUUUGACCAAUAAAAAGUUCAAAUGGAUAUAUUUAUAAUAAAUUUACCAUCAAUUAAUUUAUGUUCAAUUAGAUUAAUAUUGCAUAAAACUGCAAACCGGUACAUUUGUAAUAAAUGGAUAGUAAAACCCUAAAUUGAUAUAUCCAUUAACUGUCACAUAUAAUCUAAUUUAAAAAUUUGAUAAUAAAAUUCAACGAAGACUAGCGGACGAUAAAUUUGUUGUAAGUAUGUUAAUUUAAAGUUUUUCGUGGUAUUAUUUUUGUUUAACUGUAGCACCCACUACCAUCUUAAAUUGACCACAUUAUCCCUUACAAGUCCUAUUUUUGAUUUAAGAUUAUUUCUUACCUUAUUUUUCUUCUUUUUGGUUGGUUUCAGUUUUACUAAAACACAAAGUUACUCUUAUGUCUUACUCCUCUCGAUUAACUUGAAUCUCACUUCAGCACGUUCUUGGAACUUAAAAAAUUUUCAAUUACAAAUCUGCCACACAACAAAGACUAAGCUCAAAUAGGAGGUCCACUCAUUUAAAAUUAUUUAUUGCCUUCUUUUUCUGUUUCUUGUUUUUUUUUUUUUUUUUCAUUUGGGAUGAAACUAGUGUCAUUGCUUUCCAAAAAAAAGUAGCUGACAAAUAAAAAUUUUCAUAACAAAUUUUAAGAUUUUCAGUGUAUUUAUCUCUUUUAGGUAUGUGAUUCUCCAUAUUUAAGGGGUAAAGUUACUAACAAUUAGAAUUUGGAUUGGAUGGGGCAUGACUCAAGUCUAGAUUAAAUCAGGUAUAUAUCGCUAAAUUUUAUUAUGUAAAAUAUGUGUCAUUUUUAGUUUGACUCAUUUUUAACCCAUCCAAACCAACCCGAUCCACAUAUUUGAUAAGUCUAAACAUUAUGCACCCAAGAAAAUGGAAUUGGGGGAAGAAAAGCAUAAGCAGAACAUAGUCAUGUCGUGCGUGUUAAGUUUAACUCCACAAAAAAUUUUCUCUACUUUGAUUGAUGACUUCGUUUUUCCGCCGUGGAGCAAUACAUACUCCCAUCUUCUGUGAAACUUCCUCAACGUAUCCUCCAUGAAGACAAGCGUCAUAUGUUUUGUCUAACUAUGUAGUAGUGACCCAUACCUAAGAUUAGUUUCUGAAUGUCUGCUAUAGAUAUAGAAUAUAUGAGAGAUGGCUAUGUAAAUUUGAGCUAGAUAGAGAACAAUUUUGUGCAAUUUGAUAGAAGGUGUUGAACAAACCUGUAUUUAUUGAAGAAAUAAAAGCUCACAGAUGAAGAGUACGCACUCUUGCUACUUAGACUACAAAGAAAAUAGUCACAUCUGCAACGAGAGAUGCUGCCUAGGAAUGUCGGUUAAUAUAACUGUUGAAUGUCUAAUCUUUUGCCACAUUUGUACCUCAGUGAAAAUGGCAAAUCCAUUGAUUGCUUCCAAGAAAACUCCUUCACUCAAAUACUUUCUAGAAUGAAAAAUAAUUGAAUAACAGUCUUUAAUCUACCGUGAGAAUAACAAUCUGUUUUAGAUCACAAAAAAUCAGAUAACAAAAAUUUACAAAAUAUUAUGGAGUCCACUCAUUUAAGAAUUUGUGACUCAUAAUAAGCUGUUAUUCUCACAAUAGCUUAAAGAUUAUUGUGCUAGCAAAGCUCUUCUAGAAUUGCUAUCAAAUGAUGCUAACACAUAAGGAACCAAGAAAUAAGACCCAAUUUUUUUUUUAUAGCAUUUAGUGUUGAGAACAGCCAGCACCAUCUCUCGCAUCCGCAACACUGUUUACAACAACUUUGGUCCACAUUGGACAUGGAUAAGGCAAAAUCGCACACCUGUAACGAGGCAAUCGGUCACUUCAAAAUGAUUAAGCAGUUCAAGGGACUUUCAAGGAUUUUCGCCAAUAAACCGAAACGCAGACGAUUCACUGCAAUGACUUGCCGAUGCACCAUUAUUGCCUAUGAAAUGCAAGAUAAUUUUUCCUUGAACCAUCUAUUAUUGAUGAUUCCUGAUGAAAAUCCAUAAAUUAAAAACCCCUGAGAAGUUCCCGCUAUAGUAGUAGCCCAUUUUAUUGGCAGCAAUAAAGGGCUAAAAGGGAGCUUUGUAAAGAGUCCUUAUGGGAGACUGAUCCCUCAUUUAUUCAUAUUGCUAGAGAAAUGAACUUAAUACAUUUGCGUCUGUUCUUCCUCGGAUACUUGAGCCAUCUAGGCUAAAGUUACUGGAUUCGUUGCUCCUCUAGACUACUUACAGGUACCCCGCCUUGAAGUAUGAUACAAAGAGACCCAAAAGAUAUCCCGAGAAAAGGGUGGGAAAUUAUACGAAGUUUGAAAAAACUGGCAAACUCUCGUCAAACCGAGAUACUCCAGGUCACACUAUCUCGAGGUAUUGUGAAUGAGAGGCCACAAGAAGGGCAGCUCCGAUGCCUGAGCUGUCAUUCGAAAGCACAAUCACCGUAUUCUCAGCAACUUCAGGUUCCAGCAACUAAUUGAGAGUGGCCUCCACGUAGAUCCGGAAUUUGGUGUAGUGCUCGAACAGACCUCCAUCCAAAGCUGUAACUAAUCUCUGGUUCUCCCCGUCCCUAAGGGUAUUGUUGGAAAUUAUAUCCAGAGAAUACAUACUAUUUGUUGUAAUCAGAAUAUCAAUAUAAAGAAGACGAUAACAGUUAUAUAAUAUCAUUCUUUUUAUGUAAACUCUUGGAGAAGAAUAAAAUAAUAUAUCACUGAAAAAAUAACAUAAUAAAAUUGGAAGAAUAAAAUAAUAUAUCACUGGAAAAAUGACAUAAUAAAAUUGGAGGUGAGCUACGGAUAACCGAAUCUCCUUAAGGCAAUUAGUUCCUGCCCAUGGUGCCCCGCAGAUUCACGAAUUAUACCUCCCAAGAUACAACACCUCGAACCUGUUUGGAUUAGCACUAUGCAAACAGGACUAUAUCGAACCGUUCAAUUAAACCAGCACACCCAAAUAAAACAGAAGAGUAGAAGAGGAUAUCAAAGCUCUUUUUUGGAAUCGAAUGGGGAAAACCAAAAACCAAAAACCAAAAAAAACCCUUUUGAAGCUCUAUGCUCCUAUCUAUUUAUAGAGAUUUUUAGUUCAUGUACUAAAGAGAUACAUGAAUUAAAUAGACGCGUGUAUCCACGAGAUUCAUGAAUAAAGAGAUACGUGAAGCCAAUAGAUUCAUGAACUCAAUAAAUACAUGAACUAAACGAUACAUGAAUCUAGGAAAUUCAUGAAUUCAAUAGAUACGUGAACAUAAAGGUAUAGGAAAUUCAUGAAUCCAAAAAGAGAUACGUGAACAGAAAAAACGUAUAUUAAUUUAUUGGCUUCCGUUGAUCCAUUAACCAUAAUUAUAACCAUAAUUACAACAGGUAUCUCUUCCUAGCUUCUUCUGAAUAUCCUAGCCGGAGCAAGACAAGCACCUCACGUGGCAACUAUGUCACAUAGGUUGACUCCAACCACCUCCUCCACUCCUCUCCUCCUCCUCCUCCUCCUCCUCUCACCACCACGACACCCGCCGCCACAAUGGCACACACGAUGAUCACCGACUUCUUGCUCAUCUCCUACCGCUGCCACCAACUCCACAGCACACAGACCCCAAGCAAGUUACGAUUCGGCUUUCCUCGCAAGCUUGGUCCUUUACUAUAUUCUCCCACUCCUCAACAAUCCUGGAAUUUUCCGAGAGAACCAAACAGAAGGAAAGAGCUUGAAUUCGAGCGAGCGCCAAUGGAAGGUUAGUCUCCCUCUCUCCGGGCGUGCCUAGAUAAGUCUCUUUUCUGAUACAGCAGAUGCAAGUAGAUGAUUUUAUAAAGACGAAUUACACGUUUGGCGUUUUGGGUUUCGGACUUUAUCAUGAAUGUGAUCAUUUGAAAAAGUUGAGAAUGGGGCCUAGGGUUGGUGAAGACUUGGCCUUUUGUAUUCAGGAUAGUUCUUUUAGGACUCCGGUGAUCACAUGUCCGAUUGUGGACAUCGGCGGCCUCGAGAAGAUGAAAUUCUCGGUGCUUACUCGGUGCUCAGCUUUAUUCUUCACUCUAGUCAAUAUAGUUUUGCUAAGUCAUGUCAAGCUCGAACUCGGCUUUAUUGAAAUAUACCCGACGUCGGCUUACCUGAACUCCGUCGUCCUUAUUUGAGAUCAANNNNNNNNNNNNNNNNNNNNNNNNNNNNNNNNNNNNNNNNNNNNNNNNNNNNNNNNNNNNNNNNNNNNNNNNNNNNNNNNNNNNNNNNNNNNNNNNNNNNGAUCAUACUUUGAUGAAAGCUCAUAAUAUUCAAUAACACGCGUAACUAAACAAGUGUUUUUAGAGGUAGAUAUCUUGCUCAUUUAAAAUCCAAUAAAAAGAAAUUUAUCUUGCGCUAUGGCAUCUUUAUGAGAAAUCAUUGCUUGGUUAGAAUGCAGCAUCAAUGAGAUUCCGAUUCAAAAAAUCUUUGCUCAUAGAUAACGAACGGCCGAGAUCUAUCCUUUUAUGAUCGCAUCUGCCAACCCGAGACAGCAGAAGCACCUGGGUGAUUUGUUUGGUUUUUGUAAACUUUCUGUGUCUCCCAGCGAGUUGGAUAAUCCCCAGAAUUCGCAUUGACCAAAACAAGCUGAGAACAUCUCUUGCAUUGUAAGUCUGCAACUUGAGCUGCUCUUGAGCCUGUUUAGGACUUUAUGCGGAGUCCACUUUGGAUCCAUUUGGCAAGGCUUUUAUUCCGGGAAACAAUUUUUUUUUCAAAAAUAAUAUUUUUCUAUUUCUAUUCACUAGAACAAUUUCUCAAUAAAAGAAUGCAUUUUGUAAUAACAUAAACUUUCUAUUUUCAAAAUGAAAAAAGAAUAGUAAUAUGUUUGGUACAAUUCACAAUUUUUUUUAAUGUAGAUUUUUUUUUUUUUUUAUUCUUCCUUACCGUCGAUGACCACUACUGUUGCCGCCUAACCCAGCUGCCGAUGACUAUUGAUGACAUCGACCGUUGCCUGGCACCACCAAUAGCUGCAAUCAAUGCCGAUCAGGGCCAACCAACGUCGGCUACAGCGGUUUGUGGCAUCUAGCAGUAGUUGACAUUGUGAGUGCUAGUAUGAACAAAAUAAAGGAGUUAGGGAAGAGAAUAAGAACACAAGAUUUAUAGUGGUUCGGCUUAAUCCAAGCCUACGUCCACUCUCCCACGAUAACAGCCUUCUUGGCUGGAUUCCACUAUGCAAUCAACAAGAGAUUACAACUUCGAGUGCAAACACUUAGUAGUAGAUCACACUAUCUCACUAAGUCACUCUUUUGGUAUUUCUCUCACGAUUACAAACGUUUAAGCUCUCAAGAGACAAGUAUAUGAUCGAAAGUCGCUCAGACUUUGGAAUUAUAAAUUCUACGCUCCGUCUUUUACUUGCUCAUCGGUCCAUGAUCUCCUUAAAUACUCCUCCACUUCCAAACUACCCGUUGGACAGUAUCCCGGAGAAUCGUCUUCCAAUAUACCCAUUGGACAGCUCUGUAUCUAGAAGAUUUGGUAGCCGUUGAGUGACAAAUGUAGAAUCCCAAAUUGAUUCUGAUCGCCCAUACAAACGAAAUCUUGGUUUCCAUAAGUAAAGCUUCUUCGUAUAGAAAGAUCUUGUCUUCAAGAUCCAAUAGUCAAUCAAUUAGAUUGAAUCAAUCAAAUUAAUCUUGAUGUGGAAUCCAAACCAGAUCACUAGUCGUUAUAUGAUUGGGCUUGAAUUACGAUCUGUUGAAUCUGGAUGUAAAGUCUGAUAGCCAUAGACUUUACAAUCUAAGUUUGUAGACUUUACAAUCUGGGUCUGAACAUAUCUGCUUCUGAACAGAUUUAGCUUUAAGGUCUGUACCCAGUUCAGCUUCAGUAUAAAGUCUGUCUUCUGGUUCAUCAUUCACGUUCAGUCUGGAAUUAGUCAGAGUGAGCAGACUUCUGAUGUAGAACAGAAUUUGACACUAAAGUCUAGCAGUCUUCAGACUUUGAGUCUUGAGUCUGGCAGUCUUCAGACUUUGACACAGAAGUCUGGAAAUCUUCAGAAUAUACUUUGGACAUAUGUUACGUUCAGUCUUCUGGUCGUCUUCACACUUUGACAAUAUCCUUUACAUGUUCUAUCAUCUGCAUGGUCUAUUACUUAACCAUUAAACAUGUUAGUAGCCUUUAAUUUAUUUUGUCAUCUUCAAAACAUCAUAAGGGAUUUCCCUAACAGACAUCAUUGGCAGUCAUUAGCGGCUAGGGUUAGCAGUGGGCAGCAACAGUCGGUAGUGGUGAUCAUCGGCGGCAGCAAUCAAUCGGCCAAUCAAUGGGCAACGGCCUCAAUGGUCAUUGGCAGUGCAAUUGGUCGGCGAGCAGUGAAUGACGGUCAAUCCAUGGUGGUAGGUGGUAGCUAGUGGCAAUCAGUUGAUGGUCGGCCAGUAGCAGGCAAUAGGCAACAAUGGUCGAAUGGUAAGUGGCUAAGUGGCCGACGAUAGGUGGUUGGCCGAUGGCUAGUGGCAAUUAACCAAUGGUCAAUGGAGGCAGUUGGCCUACGACAGCGAGAGGCUGAUGAAGGUCGGCGGUCGGCCAGCAACAGGCAUUAAGUGAUAGCAGUCAAAUGGCGAGCAGUGAAGCAAUGAGCGGUAGGCGAUCAUUAGGUGAUUGGUUGGUGGUCAGUGGAGGCAGUCGGCCGACAACCAUGGCGAAACAGCAGGGGCAGCGGCAAGGGGCAAGGGGCAACAAGGAAGAAGAAAAAAAAAUUAUAUCUAUAAAUUGUUCUUGGUAAUAAGAUGCUAUCUUUUUACAUCUUAUUUAUAUUCAAACCUAUUCAUUGGUCACUACUAUGAGGAAUAGAAAAAUUAAUUGAUAUUACCAAACGAAUUUUUAUUCUUUUUUUUUGUUUCAGAAAACAAAAGAACAAAAUUAAGAAAAAUAAAAAACGUUACUUAACGAGGUCUUUUUGUGCCCAAUAAAGGAAAUUUUUGUCAGUUUUUUUUUUGGUCGAUUUGUCAGGUUCUAUUCAAUCACAAUGAUUCCGUGCAGUGCGAAAAUUGCUUUUGGUCCACUGUUCAAGGAAAUCGAAUUUUGUCCUCUGUCAAAUUUGCAGCUGAAGAGUGAACAGGCUUUAUCUCUUCUCAUCCGUCUCGUCCGUCGGCGUGUCACUUCUCUCUGCGGGCUUAGAAAAAGCCCACAUCAGACCCCAAGAUUGUACUAGCUGCUCCCUGAAAGGCACCAAUUCCCGCGGCUUCUUAUAUAUUUGUUCAGUUUUUUUGGGGUUGACAAAUUGAACUCUCUCCAUAUUUGAGAUUGUUCACUUGUCCAGCUUCGAACUUCAGAAUAUUGCUCGGAGGCUAGCGAAGGACAGUUUCCCCUUUAACCUCUGGUUUUCACAGAGAAAUCACGAGAUUCACACUGGUGCAACUCACAUAAAAUCCAUAUAAAGCAUGAGAAUUGGAUGCACAAAAUGCAAAUGUAUCUGUCAUACCUGAUUUCUCCCCCUUUCAAAGUCGCGGAGGAGGUGGCCUACAUAGUGAAACAUUAGGUCGACACAUGAAAACUGAAUUCGAUAAGAGCGAGUCACCACGGGUGAACAAUCCGUUCUAAUAGAAUUGGAUGCACCAAUUACAGGAACAGGAUUGAUGGGCUGGUCGGGCCUUCAGGAUGUACCGGCCCAAAAGUUUUAGGAUCUGGCUUCGGAGAAAUGGUUGAGCCUAUCAAACGCACUACCACUAGCCCCCAUUGAUAAUGACAGCCAGACAUUUCAAAGCAUCAUGCCCCCUUUUUUAAACAGCGGACGUAAUCUACUUUCUCGUUCUAAUCAAAGGCAUCACAUUUAGAGGCGCCGAGAGAUUUUUCCAGGAGCAUUUUCCUUGGUGGUCUCGCUUGAAGUAGAUUAGGUAUUAGGUAAGGCCAAGAAUCGAAUUUGAGACUUCAUACUUCUCAAUCACUGGCCGCCUUGUAAACUUCUUGAAGCAAUACACUGAAAUCCUCAUUGCGUAGGCCUACUUGAGUUUAUGGCAUUUGGAUCAUCCGGAUAUAUACUCGAUUAAAAGGGGGUUCAUACGCUAUUCCCCUAGAAAGAAAAUACAAAUCAGUAUAUACACUUUCAACUAUUAAAUCCUCCUAAAUAGAAGUUGCCAAUAGUUUUAAGGAUCAGAACGUAAUUUGAUUGAAUCUCAAAAUCCUUUUGAUUUCUUUGGUAUGAAAGCACCUUAUAUACCAAAAAAAAAAAAAAAAAAAAAAUUGACAUUCAAGUCAUGUAGAAAGUAGGGCUGAGCAUGAUUUGGGUGAGUGGUUCCCAUCUUGGAAUCAGGCCGCCCACUAAGGAUUGAUUUCAAAAAAUUGGAACCAAGACCUGCCUAUUGAUUUGUGGAUCCACCUAGGAAUCAAACUGCCGAUUUGGUCCAAUCCUCUAGUGUGUCCAUGGAGUUGGUCCCCAAUCCCUACAAAGCUUGUUUGGCCUUAUACUCAGAUUGAAUUGCAAGCUAUUGAUUUUGAUUAAAGAUUGAAAACUAUAGGGUGGGACAAAUAGACAAUACUUAUUAACUAAAAACUUAAAUUUUUCGAAGGUCACAAUUUUGUUUUCUUAAGAUUUCUCGACAUCGAAAACAUGUAGAGAAUUAGACUCCAAAUUAAAAGUCUUAACCUCCGGAAGAUAAAAUAUUAAUCACUUACUUCAUCUUUUUUCAAUGUCAACUUAGUUUAAUUAUGUGAUUGGCUAAGGAGAGACUUAAUUAUAAUCUUAAAAUGAGCUGUUGGCUCUUGUAGACAUCUCCGAUUGGUUCUCUUCUUCUUCUACGUUUGUUUGUUUGUUUGUUUUUGUUUUUGAGAAAGUAAGUAAAUGGAUUAUUAGAAUGGAAAAAAAGUAGGAGGGUUAAUCUUAUUACACUCCCAAGAAAUAAAAUUAAUUUAUAAGGUCAAAUAACUAUAAAUAUACACAUAUAUACAUAUAUAUAUUUAGUCAAAAAACUACAAAAUAAUCAAGUAAUUAAGAUGGAUUUUUUUCUUUAAAUUUAUAUAUAUACAUAUAUAUACCGUUUCGGUUCGGAUAGGUGAGCGGAUGGUUCCACACCUAGAAUUAAGAACUCGAUUAGUACUCAUCAAUUCCACUAAAUUGGAACCAGGAACCAGACUGGCUUUCUUGAGAACUACUAGUUCUAGUCCGGUCCGGUCCGGUCUAUUUUCAAGAGGUCUAGAUGACUUUCGGUUCUUUUGUACACUCUUAGUAGAAAGCAUCCAUUUGACUGAACAUGCACAAGUUGAAUGGGUUCUUUUUUAAUAUUUCCCCCCGUGUUGUGCUCAUAUAUUCAAAGCUCUGCAUCCCACUCUUUUCAAAGGACGGAGAUGUUCACACAACCACCUUUUUGAACGAUCGGCGAUGGUGCACGACCGGACAAAAACUAAUCAACGUUAAUUUCUUAAUUUUCUAACAUGAAUCCCGAUCAGAAAGCCAGAUCCCGACUGCCCGCUAUGACUCCAAUAUGGUCGUUGAAGUGGAGAUAAAGCGUCAAACACGACGAUAUCACUUCAUUGACGACGUGACAUCUCAACAAGUGAGAGUCAUAAGUGGGCUUGUCGCUUACAUCACGACAUUCUCGACAAUUAUUGUUAAUUUAGUAUUCAUAUGUGUCACUUUAUGUCAAGAAUAAGUAUUUCACAAAAAAAUUUAAAAAAGAAGAAGAAGAAGUCAAUAAAAGUAGUGAUGAAUGUACCUCUGAUUGGUUAUUUACCAAAAAAAAAAAAUGUUCCUGAUUGGUUAAUAAUGAAAGCCCACAACACACGAUUCAAUGAUGGUUGCCAAUCUUCUUCGAGGUUGCUUCCUUACAUUUUCCAAACUUUCGUUUUUUCCAAUCAAAGCAAGGGACACGGCAAAAGCCCACUAAAUCUACUCAAAAAUCAAAAAAGUAAAAGUCUCUGGUCAAGGUUCAAGUUCAACACUGGAGAGCUGCACGUGUUGACGUACUCCAUUUUCAGAAAAUGGUAUACCAUCACUAGAGUGAUGUUUCAAACAUCUUAAGAAUGCAAAUAGUAACAUUUUUGUUUAGAGAAAUAAUUUCUUUUAAAAAAUAGUUUUAUUUUAUUUCUAUUCUCUGAAAUAAUUUUUGAAUAAAAUAACAUGUUUGGUAAUUAUAUAAAAAUUUUAUUUUCGAAAUAGAAAAAGAAUAUGAAUACAUUUGAUACGAUCUAUAAAUUUUUAUAUUUUUUCAUUUUUUUUCUUGCUUGUCGACUGUCAAUUGGCGCCCCCCACCGCUCGAUUGUCGGUGGUUGACGGCUGGCAGUCACGGUUAGGCGUCGACGGUCUAAUGACAAUCAGUGGCGGAUCCAAGGGUAAUAGCCGUGGCAAGGGAGAAGAAAAAUGGAAAAGACAAAAAAUGGCUUAUUUCUUUAAAUUGUUCUCAAGAAGAAGUUUUUUUUUUCUAAUUCAUAUUUCUAUUCCAAAUCUAUUUUUUGUCACUUUUCUAUUUAGGGAAAUAGAAAAAUUAAUAGACGUUAUCAGAUGGAAUUUUGUUCUUUUUUUUUUUGUUCCGGGAAGCAAAAGAAUAAAAGAAUAAGGGAACGCAAAUGUUCCCAUGCAACCCCUAAGAGACUAUCGGCGCAUAACGUUCAUGUUUUUUUUUUUCAAAAUAAAAAUAGAAUAAAAUUCGAUCGUGUACAUUUUAUUCUUGGGAAUAUAGUUAAAAUACAAUCAAGAAGUAAGGAAAAAUUACUUCUUUAUUCUCAAGAACAGCUCAAUAAUGAAAUCCAAACUAUUUUUUUCUCUCUCCCUUUUUCUUUUCUUUCUUGUUCUCUUCCUCCUCUUCCUCCCCUAGUCGAUCGGCAACUAGCCAGAUGAGGUCACCCCAAGCCUCACCUAGCCGUCAUGAGAUUGAUGUAGCCUCCCCUAGCCAUGGCGAGACUUAACGUGACCUUGUUGACUCUCGUUUGGAAAGUUAAUAAUCGGCCAUAGCCAAGGCCAGCAACCAGCUAGAGAAAGGAUAAGAAAAGAAAAAGAAGAAGAAGAAGAAGAAGAGAAACAUAUAAUAAAAUUAUUAAAAAUUAAAAGAAAUUCUAAGUCAUGUCUAAGUCCUAUGAAUGGGAUUGUACUUCCCAAGCCCAAAAAAUUUAGAGGUGGUACUAGACACAUUUCUAUUUCAGAAAUAGAAAUUUUGUACAAUUAUUAAACGCAUUAUAUUGCUUAGAAACUUGUCUAGCGAACAAAAAUAAUAAAAAAAUCAUUUCCAAAUAAAAAUUAUUACCAGAAAUAGAAACGUUAUCAAAUCCACUCUAUAAUGGCCCCGCAUUAGUCCUGAAAUCACACUUCAUUUGCAGAUGAUGCGACUGUCAAAUUUAAUCAUGAUGCAAUCAUGACAUGGAUACUCGUGUUUUUUUUAAGGGACUCGGUACUAGUUUCCCAUGAUUUCUUCUCACUUAUCUUUAAGAAAUUUAGAUGUUGGAUAACGCUGCAAAAAUUCAACCGAACGAUACUUGCUAAACUUUGGAAUUUGUUCACAACCUCUCGUUGAUUUGACAGCUUACAUUGAAUGGUUAUCAUUCUUUAACUAUUCUUUCUUUUCUUUUGUUUUCUUUAAUUAUUUUGAAAUGAAAAAGGGUGGGCUGAUAUAGGUCUCAAAAAUCAUGAAUGUGAGGACUCAAAUAUGCGAUGUGUCACAGGUUGAUAAUUUCCUUGGUCAUGGAUUAACCCGUGCAAUGCUUGGCGAAUAGAAUUCACAAGACCAGCCUUUCUUCUAUAGUUGUUCCAAUAAACAAUACGGUGAAUAACUCUUUUCAUACAAGAUCGUACCACGCCCAGAUUGGCUCGGGCAUUUAGUCCAUCGAGCGAGACAACAACUCUUUUUAGGCUCAACAACUGGUUCGGCCUGCCAUGGCCUCAUUAGGAGAGCGGCAUCAGCUACCAACUAGUUUGUACACGGGAGGCUAACCCCCCCUUCAAAGCUCCUAAGUAAUAUCAUUUUUCUAUCCUAUAACUCCUAGCACCAACCGUCCAGACACCACUCCUAUGAACCAAUUGUGUUCAUCCUCUUUGUGCCCUCGCUCUUCACUUGAUAACCCAAAACUUCACUCCCAAGGGUUCACAGGUACGGGAGAAUCACGGAUCAUGUCAAACUCUCCCACCCAAUUCUGCAACACCCUCGUUGCGAGCUGUUAUCGCUUCAUUGUAUUUCCCUAACCAUUAGUGCCACUUCUUAGGACUUACAUAGAUGGCAAUGCUCUCCCAACAAAACAAGUCACACCACUCCAUUGCUUGCUUCCCCCGAUCAAAGCUGUUUGCGAAUCUCCAGUCACUUGUACUCUCUAACAAGUGUGGCACUCCUAGCCAACUGCACCUUAUGGAAGCACCUUCUUUCUCAUACUAAGCUCCUCCUAAUCUUUGCAAGCCAACAGAGGAUCCUCCUUGGUGGAAAUAUGAUCGAAGACAUCUUCUUAAGAUUCACUCAUUGAUCCAAGAAUGUUAUCCCCAUUCAGCGAGCAAUUCGGUUUCUUCCUAUGCCCCCAUUGCCAUCCCAGAAGCUAGAUGAGAUCCGCACGUUGUUCGAGCCCCUUUGGCCCUGGUAAUCACUUUCCACCUUCAUAGGACUAGAAAGACCACAGGCUUUUCCCUGAAUCACCCACCUAAUGGAGGGAUCGCCGCUCUAAUACCAUUUGUCAUGGGUCGAUAAUUUCCUUAGCCACAAAUUAACCCAUGCGGCGCUUGGUGAACGGAAUUCACCAAGCCAGCCUUCCUUCUAUAAUUAUUUCAAUGAACAAUACGGCAAAUAGCUCUUUUCAUAUGAGAUUAUACCACGUCCAGCUUGGCUUGGGCAUUUAGUCCACCGAGCGAGACAAUAGCCCUCUUUAGGCUCAACAAUUGGUUUUAGCCUAUCAUGGCCUCAUCAGGAGAGCGGCAUCAGCUCCCAACCAGUUUGUGCAUGAGAGGACAACCCCGCCUUCAAAACUCCUAAGUAAUAUUAUCUUUCUAUCCCAGAACUCUUAACACCAACCAUCUUGACGUCACUCCCAUAGACCAGUUGUGUUCAUCCUCUUUGCGCCCUCGCUCUUCACUUGAUAACCCCAAACUUCACUCUCAAGAGUUCACAGGUACAGGAGAAUCACAGACUGUGUCAAACUCCCCCACCCAAUUCCACAACACCCUUGUUGCGGGCUAUUAUGUCGCUUCCCUGCGUUUUCCUAGCCAUUAAUGCCACUUCCUAGGACUUACAUAGAUGGUAACGCUCGCCCAACAGAACAAGUCACACCACUCCAUUGCUUGCUUCCCCUGAUUAAAGUUGUUUGCGAAUCUCCAAUCACUUGUACUUCCUGACAAGUGUGGCACCCCUUGCCAACUACACCCCUAUGGCAGCAUCUUCUUUCGCCCACUAAGCUCCUCUUGAUCUCUGCAAGCCAGUAGAGGGUCCCCUUUGGUGAAAUAUGACCACAGACCUCUUCUUAAGAUUCGUCCAUUGAUCCAAGAAUGUUAUCCCCAUUCAACGAGCAAUUCGAUUCCUUCCUAUGCCCCCAUUGCCAUCCUAAAAGCUAGAUGAGAGCCGCACAUUGUUCGAGCCCCUUUGGCAUCGGCGAUCACUCUCUGCCCUCAUAAGACUGGGAAGACCACAUGCUUUUCCCAAAUGUCACGCCCUGAACCCCAAGCAUGCGCACAUCCCUCGGUGGUCGACUAAAAAUGCAACGUCCCAAGACGCGUCACAGGCCUAUUCAUUUUAUGCAUAUGUGGCAGCGAAAUGAUAAACCCCAUACAAUCAUCAAAUAAAGGAUAGUAAAAGCGGGAUAGCUAAUAAACACAAACCACACUUUAUAAACAAACUGAGGUUAGCCCUACAAGUCUAUAUACAGAAGUCUAUCCCAAAAGAAAACUAUUUGGCCCUCUACACUCUGGACCUUUCCUCCUCAAGUUCCAGAUCCUCUAUGACACCAACUAGGAUGUCGAUGUCAAAAGGAUCAGCUACCUCUGCCCUGGGCCCUUCAGCCUCAGGCCUUGAGUUCUCCAAGAUGUCAUUCAAAAUAUUGAUGUCCAUGGGGGUGAAGUACCUCCUCAACUUCAGUUUUGACAGGCCUAUUGUCAAAACCCUCCAAAGGACCCUCUCGGGCCCCAUUAGGCUUGUUAAGGAAUCACGCUUUGAAGCGAUGAGGUACCAAGUGAGUUAGGCUCUCAUCAACCUAAAUAGUGGUCACCACGAGCUCAUGGGUCCAGGUGGUCUGAGUGAAAAGGCUAGUGGCAACACCUAGAGGGGGGGUGAAUAGGUGCGAUGAAAAAUUUUCACAAGAUUCAGUAGAAGUUAUUUGCUUUUUGAAGAUAAUAAACUAUGAACAAGUUUAACUUUAAACUGUUAGAUAUUCAAAUAAAGGAGUUUAAGCUUAAACAAUUAACUAGAGCUACGAAUCAAAAUAAAAGAGUUUACAAAAGAGAAUAAGAACAUAAAGUUUAUAGUGGUUCGGCUUAGAUCAAACCUACGUCCACUCUCCCACACUAACAGCCCACUGGUGGAUUUCACUAAGAAUCAAAAGAGAUUUACAACUUGUGAUCUCGAUUUCUUAGUGAAGAGUCUCUAUUAGUCUCUCACAGAGUCUCAUUAUGAGUAUCUCUCUUUUGUGUAUAUAACUUGAGCACAGUGAAUGAAAUAACAAGGAACUAGGAAGCUUUAAACUUUGAAAUUUUUCUUUCACACACACUUUCGAACAACUAGAGAGUCCGCCUUAAAUACUCCUUCAUACAUUCACGACCGUUGGCUCUUUUCAAAUGAAUUCUUUCAAUCUACCCGUUGGACAGAAUUAAUCAAUGUGAUCUCAAGUUGUUAGAUGAUUGUGAUGAAAGCUCGUCAAUCAUGUUCGCCCAUACAAUCAGGAUUUUGGUUUCUAUAAGUAGAACAUUCCAAGUUUGCUUGCCUUCCAAAAGAUUUGAACAUCGGAAUUGAUUCCAAUAAAGAUAAUCAAUCAUGUAGGUGUUAUAUUCAGCCAUAAGGUAAUCCAUAAACCAUACGAAUCGAAUGCUUGAAUAUAAUUUCGCAUUUGGAUAAGUCUUCAUUCUUCAAUCUGGAAACUGUCAGUGUGGGCAGACUUUGAAUAUAAAGUCUGGCGGUCUUCAGACUUUGAUGCUAGAGUCUGGAAGUCUUUAGACUAUACUUUUGGAUAUGUUUUGUCAAUUUCAAAAUAGUAAAGGAGUUUUCUCCAACAAUCUCUCUCUUUUUUAUGGUGACAAAACUUUCCUGCAAAUUUGAGAACUUUUGACCUGCAAAACAGCUUUUAAGCAAUACAUGAUAUUUUAUAAAAAUAAGUUGAUUAGGACUUAGGUAACAUUUAUUCUCCAACCACAGAAAACAUGUUAAUCCUAAAAAGAUAAGACAAAUAACUAUCCACCCAUAAUCAAUAUUACCAAAGUAAGUUGCUGCAAGCGUCAAAAAGUUCAACAAAGAUUCACAGUCAAACAUCAAUCAAACAAAAGUCCAAAGUUCAAACCAAUAAAAACCAAAAGUACCAAACAACAAAGUACCAAUCAUCAAAAAAGAUAAAUUUGCACACACUCUCCCUCUUUUUAUCAACAGCAAAAAAUGGAGAAGUAUAACAAAGAGUUGAAUAAAAUUAGGGCUGUUUGGGGAUGCGAAUGAGCUGGAAAUAGUCUCCUUCAACUUCUUAAUAUCCUUACCCUUUGCAGUCUCUUGAACUUGAAACUUAAGGGCUUGUACUUGUUCAUGCAUAGAAUCUGAAGUAGAUUUGAGAGCUUUGUAGAGGUUCUUGAUCUCAAACUCCAUCCUGUAUUGCUGAGCUUUCAACUCUAAAAGGAUUUCUAACAGCCUUUAGAAGUCUGUUGUUCAUUAUGUUGGUGCACUAGGUCUAGCCAAGUUGAUUUCAGGAGUUGUGAAAUUUGAGGGAACAUCAGCAGUUCGAUCACCAAGACUUUGAGAGGAUGCCUCAACAUCAGUUUCAAGAAAUUGAGAGGCAUAGACUUCCUCUAGAUCUGCUGGAGAUUUGUUCACAUCACUAGUAAAAACAAGUGAAGAAGAAGUACCUAUGUUUUUAGCGGCUCCCCCUGUCUUUAUGGUUAUAGGUGGAGAAGAAAAAUCUUCUUCUUGUUCUUCAACUUCAGCAAUCGAGUGAUGGUCUUUCUCUCUUGCAUCUCCUUCAGGUCCACUCCGAGUCUUCUCAGUAUCUUCUGACAAUGAUACUGCAAAAGUUGGCUCAACAGAGUCAUCUUGACCCUCUUCCUCUUCUUCUUCUCUCUCUUCUUCUUCUCUCCCUUCUUCUUCUCUUUCUUCUCUUCUUUCUCUUUCUCUUUCCUCUGCUAUUCUUUCUUCACUUCCUUCUCUUCUGUCUUUUCUUCCUUCACUUCUCUACUUUGUCUCUUCUCUUCCUCUAUUCUCUCUAUCCUCUAGCUGCUCAAAACUAACAAAAUUCCUUAGAUUUCUUAAGGCAAAAGCGGAGAGACUGAGAUCAUCCUCAUCUUCUUCAUUCUACAAGAUAAGGGCUCUCCUAUUCUUGAUAGGUGCACUCAUUGACUCUUUGCCUUUCCUCUUCUUCGCGGCAGAGUCUUGUUUUGCUUUGGUUGGGGACUUCUCCUUCAAGUGCUCCAAGGCUUUAUUCAACUCCUUCAGUCUCAUCUUCGAAAGCAUCUUCAAUCCUAUCACCAUAGGAGCAAUGGUUCUGACACAGAGAGAUGUUGGAAACUGAAUGUGAAAGUGUCGAAAUAAUUUGGUGACCAGUGGUAAAUAAGGGAGUUGUCCCUUGUCUUUCACAACAGUUCUGUACAUGUGCAUCGGGAUUGUGUGUGGCAGUGAGAGCUUCAUCCCAAUACUGAUUGCGAACAUCAGUUUUGCUUCGGAACAAGAGACAUCUGUCUUGGAGGUUGACUUGGGUCGGAUGCAGUUGAUCAUAACCUUGUGUAGCAAAAUAUUGGAGGUAGUUAUUCUGGAAUAGAAAAUCCCGCCUUCAGCAAUUCUGUCCCGAACAAGAAACAUUGUUGCAUGACCAAUAGACACAUUUAUUGGUUGAAAACUCUCUCUUUUCACACCAAUAACAUUCGCCAAUGUGUCCACAUCCACCACAAACUCUUUGUCCCUUACAGUAAAACGAAAUCUAUUCGCGUCUAGAAAAGACAAAUUCGAAUAUAAAUAAGCAGUUAAUUCAAGAUAAGCGACAGAAGUUUCGGAGCAAAAUCGUUCAAGUUGAAGGAGAGCAAACUUCUCCCUUAGGUUCACCUUUAAAGAAUCAAGGAGAUCAAAAUCUACAAUUCGAGGGUUGAUCACCCCUCUCUUCAGCAAUUCCGGAUAAGUCUUUCAGUGGUCCUUAGAAUGAAAUAAACUCGUUCCCUCACCACGCACAUUUGCAGCAAUGCCCAUCCUAGGCUGAAAAUUCGCAUACAUAUUCUCAUCAUCAUCAUCUUCACCUCAGGCUGAUUAAAAGAACUAAACAGCAGAUCACUUGGAAAGUUAGUAAAAGUUAUGUCUGCCAAACCUUCAAGCGUAAUGCCUAACCUUUCCAUUGAUUGUAAAAACAUGGUCUCGUUCUUGUAACCUUUCUCUUGUAGAAACGCAUCAAUAAAUGUCAUCGCAGUACCACCCUCCUUUAACUGAGUGUAGAGUUUAAAGAGAAUUUGAGAUUUUAAAGUUCUUACGGGUUCAACAUCUUCCAUGAUCUCUUCUUCUAUUUGUUGGCGUGGAGGAUCUUGAGUUGCACACUAUGAAGAAUGACGUUGUUAAGAAUGUUGUUGUUGCUGCUGAGGAGAAUCUUCUUCCUCGGCUAAGUCAAAGUGAGUAGGAUUCUAUGGCAUGUGUUGUGGUCCACUAUUAGCGAUCUAAGAAGAUUUCCUAUGGAAAGACAUCUUUGCAGUUGAGGAGGAUUUCUCAAACUCGUUCGUUUGAAAAAGGUGAAAACUUGUAGAGUAAUCUUGAGAGAAAAAGUGAGAGAGUAGGAAUUCUGUAUUUUAGGGUUUAUGAAACCUAAAUGGAGAAGAAGAAUUUUGAUGGUAUAUAAAGCAAGUGAAAUGGGGUAUACAAAUCGUCACAAAAGAAAAUAAACUGUCUUUUUCAAAAAUAAAAACUGCCAAAAAUUCAAAAAUUCAAAAAAGAUAACUUCUAAAAAUAAAAUAGACAAGUAACGAUUCAAAAAUCAAUGUACAUUUUCAGAAUUUUCGUGCUAAAAUUAAAUUACCUGCAUUGUAGAGAAAAUAACUUAUAGAUAUAGUUUCUGGACAUUCUGAGUCUAACCACCUUUAGACUUUAACCAGUAGAAGAUAUGAUAUUCAGUCUGGUGCGUAUAUACUCAAAUAAAAUUUUCUCCAGUGGCUUUGUAAAUACGUCUGUCAACUGAUUUUUCGAGUCAAUAAACUAAAUCAUAACUUCUCUAUUUUGAACAUGAUCUCUUACGAAAUGUUGUCGAAUCUCUAUAUGUUUUUCCCUUGAAUGAAGAAUUGGGUUCUUUGUAAGAUUGAUGGCACUGGUGUUGUCGCAUUUGAUCUCAGUGCACGAUUCUUCAAUUCCAAAGUCUCUUAGCUGUUGUCUUAUCCACAAAAUUUGGGAACAGCAACUUCCAAAAGCCACAUAUUCUGCUUCAGUUAUUGAAAGAGCUAUAAUACUCUGCUUCCUUGAGAACCAAGACACGAGCUUGUUGCCCAUUAGUUGACAAGUACUAGAAGAACUUUUUCUGUCAACUUUACAACCUGCUAAAUCUGCAUCUAAAUAUCCAAAGAGAGUAAAGUCUCAUUCUUUGGGAUACCACAGACCUAGCUUUGGAGUAGUUACAACAUAUUUGAUGAUGCAUUUUGCAGCACUUAAGUGAGAUUCUUUGGAGUUUGAUUGGAAUCUAGCACAAAUACAAACAAUAAACAAAAUGUCAGGUCUAGAUACAAUAAGGUAAAGAAGUAAACCAAUAAUGCUCUUAUAAAACUUCUGGUCUACUUUCUUUCCUCCUUCAUCUUUGUCUAGCUUCGAAGUACUUGACAUUGGUGUCUCUGUCUUUUUGUAGUUCUCCAAUCCAAAUUUCUUGAUGAGAUCAUUCGUAUGCUUUUCUUGGUGAAUAAAAAUACCUUUCUUUGAUUGUUUAACUUGUAAUCCUAGAAAAAAAGUUUACUCACCUAUCAUACUCAUCUCGAAUUCAUCCCGCAUACAUCUAGAGAAUUUCUUGCAUAGAUUUUCAUUAAGUGAUCCAAAAAUAAUAUCAUCAACAUAGAUUUGAACCAAUAGAAAAUCAUUACCCUCUCUUUUUAUGAACAAAGUAGUAUCUAUCUUUCCUUUAACAAAACUAUUUUGGAUUAAGAAUUUACUUAACCUCUCAUACCAAGCUCGAGGUGUUUGCUUCAAUCCAUAUAAGGCUUUUUUCAAUCUGUAGAUUGAGUCUGGUUUUCUUGGAUCUUCAAAUCCAGGUGGUUGUUCUAUAUAGACUUCUUCUUGGAUAAAUCCAUAUGGAAAACUUAAAAAUUUUAUAGCAAGUAAAAGUAAGUAAUAAUCUAAUUGCUUCUAAUCUCGCUACUGGUGCAUAUGUCUCAUCAUAGUAUAUUCCUUCUUCUUGCACAUAUCCUUUGGCCACGAGUCUUACUUUGUUCUUGACCACUUUUCAUUUUUCGUUUAUCUUGUUUCUGAAAACCCAUUUAAUUCCAAUAAUAGACUUACCUUUAGGUUUAGGAAUUAGUUUCCAAACAUCGUUGAUGUUAAACUGUCUGAGCUCUUCUUGCAUAGUUUCAAUCUAGCUUUCAUCAGCCAAGGCUUCUUGUAUACUUUUGGGUUCAAUCUCAAAAACAAGUGCCAAGGCACUAGACUCUUCUCGCCUUUUUGAUCUUGUGCGAACUCCUUCAUCAAUAUUAUCAAUAAUGAGUUUUUUGGGAUGACUUGACUUAUGCUUCUAGUUGCUGGUUGGUUUGAGAGUCUACUAAUCUUCUGCUUUAGUUGAAUCCUCUAGUUCUGCUUGAAAUUGAUCUUCAGAAGUCUGAACCACUUCGGGGGAGGUAGAAUUUUUAAGGUCUGGAGCAGGUUCAGAUUCUUCGAGUUGAGUUUGGUCUAGUUGAUUUUGUAUAGAGUCUUGAAACUUGACGUUCAUAGAUUCUUUCACAAAUUGAGUCUUCUUGUUGAAUACUCUGUAUGCUUUGCUUGCGGUUGAGUAACCAAGGAAAAUUUCUUCGUGUGAUUUUUCUUCAAACUUCCCAGUUCGAUCAUUUAUAUUUUUCAAAACAUAACACUUACAGCCAAACACAUGAAAAUAAGAAACAUUUGACUUCUUUCUUUUAUACACUUCAUAAGGAGUUUUCUCUAAAAUAGGUCUCAAGAACACUCUAUUAAUGAUAUAGCAAGCUGUAGAAACUACUUUAGCCCAAAAUCGAGAGGAAAUUUUACUCUCAAUUAAAACGGUUCUUACCCUCUUCUGUAAUGAUCUAUUCUUCUUUUCUACAAUCCCAUUUUGUUCUGGAGUAUAUGGAGAAGAGAAAACAUGCUGGAAACCAAAUUCAUCACAGAACUUCGCAAAGUCUUGAUUUUCGAACUCACCUUCAUGGUCUGUUUGUAUGUUUGAAAUAGCAUAUCCUUUCUCAUUCUGAACAUUCUUGGAAAACUUUGAAAAGUGAGAGAAGGCUUUAGACUUAUUUGCCAGAAAGUAUACCCAAGUAACGCGAGAGUAAUCAUUCACGAUUACUAGGCAGUAUCUCUUUCCACCAAUGCUUUGAGUUCUAGUUGGUCUAAAGAUGUCCAUAUGCAGAAGUUACAAAACUCGAUUAGUAGAAACUUGAUUUAUAGAUUUAAAAGAACUUCUAACCUGUUUUCCCAAAACACAUGGCGUGCAUAAUUCGGACUUUUGAUAAUCCAUGUUGGAAAGACCACAAACAAACUUCUUGGAAGAAAUCUUGGCAAUCAGCUUCAUGUUAACAUGGCCAAGCUUUCGAUGCUAAAGAUUUACUUCAUCUUGAAUGGAUAUUAGACACUGAGAGUUUUGGUUUUAUAUCCAAAAGGUAAAUAUUCUCAUGUAUUCAUCUAGUGAAAGAUUGAGAGAAGUCUUUACUUGAACCUGAACAGAUGCCUUCUUGGAAUUUAAUUUUGAAUCUAGUAUUGCAAAGUUGACUAAUGCUGAAUAAAUUGUAAUUCAAACCUUCCACCAAGGAGACAUUGUUGAUAGUGAGACUUCCAAUCUUCACAGUUCUACAUCCAACAAUUCUUCCUUUACUGUUUCCUCCAAAAGAAACUUUUCCACCAUUUAUUUGAACAAGCUUAAUAAAACAGCUCGAAUCUCCUGUCAUGUGUCUCAAACAGCCGCUAUCCAAAUACCAUUUGAUCUUCUUAAUAGUGACCUGUAAUCAUGAACAGAACUCAAGUCUUCUUUAGUACCCAUAUUUUCUUGGGUUUAGGAGAGUUAGUAUUGAAAACAGUCUUUACCGAAUCCCUCUUAACGGGUCUCAAAAUCUUGAGACAUUCAUUCUCAAAAUGUUUUGAGCUGUUACACUUUGAAUAUUUGAGAGCACUUCGGCCAAUAGGUUUUAUAAAAACUUUUUGAAAAUGAUUUUUGUAAAAUGUUUUUGUAGGUCUUUAUUUGAUUAUUUCAUUCACUUUGGGAAAAUCAAUUAAUGGAAUAGUUUUUGGAGUCAUACCCAAACCGGAUUUAUUAAAAUAAGGUCUUUGUACAUAAAGAAUUUUCUCCAACUUCUCAGAUUCUUUUGAAAAUCUCUUUGUGAUAUUUGAAAUAUCUUCUUUCAAAAAGACAUUUUCCUUCAAAAGAGAAUCUGCAUUUUCUUUCAAAUCAACAAAACUUUUAUCCAGAUUUUCAUAUUUUUCUUUCUAAAAAGUUUCAUGUUGCUUCAGUUUAGAAUUCUCCCUCUUUAGCUCGGAAAUCCUUUUAAGAGAUGUUUUGAAACUAAGACAUAGUUCAUCUAUAUACUUUGAUACUUUAAUAGGAAUUUUUGAAUUGCUAACCUCAAUUUCUUUAUCUAAGUCUGAAUCUAAAUCUAUUUUAGAGUUUACAUCUGAAUUUGACAUUAGACAUAUGUUGGCAUAUUCUUCAUCACUUUCCUCGCAUUCCGUAUCGCUCCAUGUCUCUGCUUUGAGAGCCUUUUUAUAUUUCUAUGUUAUUUCUUUCCUUUUCUUCAAUAGAAGAUAGUUGGGUCUAAUGUGCCACUUUUUCUUGUAUUCGAAGCAUAUCACAUAUUUGUUGGUUUCAUCGUCCUUAGUUGGUUUCUUCUGGAAUUUUUUAUUGCUCUACUUUUUUCCAGUUAAAUCUUCUUCCCUUCCUAUUCAACUUUUUGAACUUUCUAAUCAUGAGUGCUAGCUCUUCAUCGUCUAUAUGAUCUUUUGAAUCCAUAUCAUUAGAAUCAUCAUUAUAUUUUAAAGCAAUUGACUUCUUACCUUUGUGAUCUUCUUCUUCAUUGAUUUGUUCAACUUCAUAUAAUUAAAGUGUGCCAACUAGUUCAUCUACUAAAAGAGGCAUAAUCCUAUGAGUUUCUUUAAUUGAUGUCUUCACAUGAUUCUAGUCUUUGGAGAGUCCACACAGCAGUUUAUUGACCUUCAUUGGUCUUGAGAUUAGUUGUCCUCGAUAUGUUAGGCCAUUUACAAUCUCUGUGAAACAACUGAACAUGUCAAUGAUGGAUUCUCUAGGCUUCAUCUUGAAAGCUUCAUAUUGUCCGAGUAGAAUAUUGAUUUUAGUUUCCUUUACUCGAUCAGUUCCUUCAUAUGUGACAUGCAAUCUGUCCCAAACUUCUUUUGCUGUUUCACAAGAAGAAAUUCAGUUAUACUUAGUAGGAGAUAAAGCACGGUAUAAGGAGUAUAUGGCUUUAUCAUCAAGAGCUUGUCUCUUGGUUAUUUCUACUUGUGUCAAUUCACCAGCAUUUGCAACUUCCUUUCCUCUUUCUAAGGUUGAUGUAGUUUUGGGAAUGAUCCAUUUCUCUACCACAUCCCAUUCCAGGAGAUCUUUCGACUUUAGGAAUGUAUUUAUCUUGUUUUUCCACACAUUGUAUUCCUUCCCAUCAAAGUAAGGAGGCCUGAUGUUGCUUUGGCUUUCAACCAAACCUAGAGCUAAAAUACUAGCCAUAUAUCUUUAGCUUAAGAAGUAAAGACACUUCAAUAAAUAAGUAUACAAGCUCUGAUACCAAUUGAAAGGGCUAGUGACAACACCUAGAGGGGGGUGAAUAGUAUGAAAGCUAGUACAAGCACCUAGAGGGGGUGAAUAGGUGCAAAAACAAAUUUUCCAAAGUGAAGUGAUCGACUUUGAUCAGCAAUAGAUUAUGAAAAGGAAAUUAGACUCUUGUAAUCAAAUUGAAUUACGAUCAAAGUAAAAGAGCUUAGGGAAGAGAAUAAAAACACAGUGUUUAUAGUGGUUUAGCUUAGUCCAAGCCUACGUCCACUCUUCCGCAUUGACAGCCCACCGGCUGGAUUUCAUUAUGAAUCAAAAGAGUUGUUACAAUAUAGCUCUUUCUUGAUUCCACAGUGUAGAGACUCUGCUAUAAUUCCUCAAGGUCUCACAAAGAUAUAAACUCUCUUUUGAGUACAAGAUUUCGCUCAACAAUUGAAUUGACUAAGAACAAGGAGUUUCAGACUUUGGAAUUCUUCUAUCGCGCACACACUCGAAUAACUGGAAUGUCUUUCUUAUAUACUCCUUCAUGUCAUCACACCCGUUAGCACUUACCAAAGGAGUUCUUCCAAUCUACCCGUUGAAUAGAAUCAAUUAUAAAGAUUUUGAGUUAUUUAAGGAAUAUGUCGAUAGUCCACCAAUCAUGCUCGCCCAUACAAUCAGGAUCUAAGUUUCCAUAAGUAGAAUCUUCCAAGUAUACUUUGCCAAUCAAUAAAUCCAAAAUCCCUGAAUCAAUCUCAAUUUGAAUAAUGGAUUCCGACAUGCUAUAUUCAGCUAAGAGAUCUUCUUCAGUCGAUAGAAUCAAAUCCUUAAUGAAAUACUCAGUUCUGGAUAAGCCUUAUUCGACGGUCUAGAAACUGUCAAUGAGGAUAGAUUUUGAGUCUUGAGUCUGGCAGUCCGAAGGUCUUCAGACUUUGAUGGAAGAGUCUGCAAGUCUUCAGACUAGACUGAUGGAAACGUUUUGUCAACUUCAAAACACUCAAGAAAGAUUUCUCCAACAAUCUCCCACUUUUUGAUGGUGACAAAACUUUCCUGCAAAUUUGAAUAACUUUGACCUGCAAAACAAUACUCAAGCAAAACAUGGAUAUCUCACAAAAGAUAAUUGGCUUAGUAAAGAUAACAUUAAAAUCUGCAUCCAUAGAAAAUAAGUUAGUCUUGUAAAAGAGCAACUAUCUUUGCCAUGAAAUACCAGUAGUGCUUAAAAUAAACAAACGAUCAAAUAAUCCAAAUCCAAAUCCAGUCACAGCCAAAUAACCAAACACAAAAGUAGAAUCGGUCAAACACAAAAGUCAAGAGUUUAAAUCUCAAAUCUGCACCACAUCUCUCCCCCUUUUUGUCAGCAUUAAAAAGGUAAAGAUGAAAAGAGAAUGGAAUUAGGAUUGCUUUGGAACACGAACAAGCUGGAAAUCUCCCAUUGACUGGACAAUCUCUUCCAGCUUUUUGAAAUCCUCCUUCAGUUGAGCCACAUCUUCUCCCUUGGCAUUUACUUGAACUUGAAGAGCAAGAGCAUGGAUUUGAUCAUGCAAAGAAACUGAAGAGGCUUGACUUGCAUUCUACAAGUUCUGAACUUCGCAUCCUAGAGCAUAAAUUUGGCUCACAUCUCCGUAAGAACAUCAAGCACUCUACAAAAAUCUGCUGAGUUAUCAGUAUGAGUACUAGCUUCUGCACAAUCAAAAGGUGUAUUGGCAGAUGAUGGCAAGUCAGCACGAUCACUCAGAUUGGGCAAUGAAACCUCAUGGCAUUCCUCAGGAAAUUGAGAGGCAUAGAUGUCUUCUGGAUUUGCUGGUGAACGACUUACUCCUUCACCAGUAGCAGUAAUUGAAGAUGCACCUCUUUUCUCAACAUCUCCCCAUGUUUCAAUGCCUUCAGGCUGUGAAAAGUACUCUUCAUGCUCUGCUUCUUCGGGUUCACCUCUGCCCUCUUCUUCUUCUUCUUCCCCAAUCCUUUCUUCCUCUGCUUCUUUCUCCAUUGAUUCUCUCUCUCCAGUCUUCUAUUUGAUCUCCUCCUUGUCUUGUUCCUAUCUCACCUCUGUCUCUGGAACAGAACAACUUAAAUUCUUCAAUGCAAGAGCAGAAAUUGUGAUAUUAUCCUCAUCAUCUUCAUCCUUCAAUAUGAGUGCUCUUCUUUUCUUGGAUGGAGCAACCAUGGGCUCCUUCCCUUUCUGUUUUGCAGCCGAAGAGACUGGGUGAGUCUUGACAAGGGUUUUAUCCUUGAAUCGCUCCAAAGCCUCAUUAAGUUCCUUCAAACGCAUUUUAGAGACCAUUUUCAGUCCCACCACCAUUUGAUCGCAUUUUUGAAGACAAAGAAUUCUGAGAGGCUGAAUGUUCAAAUGUCUAAAUAACUUAGUGACAAGUGCUGAGUAAGGAAGUUGGCCCUUGUCUUUCACCAUCGUUCUAUACAUGUGGAACAUAAUAGUGUGUGGAAGAGAGAAAUUUUUGCCAGCGUUAAUGGCAUACAUCAGCUUUGCCUCCAAGUUUGAAACAUCGGUCUUCAAAGUUGAUUUGGGUCUGAGGCAGUUGAUCACUAUCUUGUGAAGCAAAAUAUUUGAGGCAUUCAUCCUCAAAUAUGAAAUGUUUCCUUCCGCCAUUCUAUCUUGAACAAGCUCUACCGUUGCACGUCCAAUUGACACACUGAUUGGCUGGUAUUUCCUUCUUUCAACCUUAAUCACAUCAGCCAAUGUAUCUAUGUCAACUACAUAGUCCUGAUCUCGAACACUGAAAGAGAAUGGGUUAUGCAUCUUCAAUAAUUUCUUCCUCUUCUCGAUGUUCAAUAUUCUGAGGUCUAGAUGGAGGCGAUAGACGCUGCUGAGAAUGUUGUGGGCUCUGCUGCUGCCUAGGAGAUUAUUCUUCCUUGGUGAGGUAAAAAUGUGUAGGACCCUCACGCAUUUGUUGUGGUCCCCUAUUCGCGAUCCUCGAAGACUUUUUUUGAGACGACAUCCUUCAUAGUCUUUGAGAGAUUCCAAGAUUGUUUCGCAAGAAAGGUGAAAACUUUUCGAGGAUUAAAAAAGAGAAGUUGAAUAUCUGUGCUCUCUUAAGGUUUUUGUGAGUAAAACAAAGAAGAACCAACAUUAUAUAAGGCAGUUGAGGCGAGGCAAACGGAACGUCAUAAAAGGAAAUAUAAAAAUGCCUUUUCAAAAAAUAACUGUCUUUUUUGAAAAAAAAAAUAGAUAACCGUCAUUUCAAGAAUAACUUCUUUUUCGAAAGGAAAGAUUGCAAUAAUCACGAAAACUGGGAGAGAUAAUAUCAAUCAAUUACAGAUAGAUGAUCGUACAUUUUCGAGAUUUUAUCCGAGAGAUAAAUUUCUAAAACAAAAAUAACUUACAGUCGUGAAUCUUGAUUGUCUGAGUCUGAGUAUCUUUAGACUUUAAGCCCUGAGUCUGAACUUCCUCAGACUUUAAGAUAUUGAGUCUAGAACAAAUAACUUCAAAUUGAUUUUUCUCCAAAGGCUUUGUUAAUAUGUCCGCUAGUUGAUUCUUUGAAUCAAUGAACUGAAUCAAAAUUUCUCCAUUUUGAACAUGAUCUCUAAUGAAAUGAUGUCGAAUCUCUAUAUGUUUUGCUCUUGAGUGAAGAAUUGGAUUCUUGGUGAGAUUGAUUGCACUGGUGUUGUCACAUUUGAUCUUAGUGCAUGAAUCUUCAAUUCCAAAGUAUCUUAGCUGUUGUUUUAUCCACAUAAUUUGUUAACAACAACUUCCAAGAGCUACAUACUUUGCUUAUGAUGUAGAAAGAGCUACAGUACUUUGCUUCCUUGAAAACCAGGACAUUAUCCUAUUACCAAGUAGUUGACAGGUGCCCGAGGUGCUUUUUCUAUCAACUCUGCAUCCUGCUAGGUUUGCGUCUGAGUAUUCAAGAAGAGUGAAGUCUCUUUUUUUAGGAUACCAGAGGCCUAAAUUUGAAGUUGAGGCAAUGUAUUUGAUAAUACGUUUUGCAGCGCUUAAAUGAGAUUCUUUGAGGUCUGAUUGAAAUGUGGCACAAAUACAAACACUAAACAGAAUGUCAGGUCUAGAAGCAAUAAGAUAAAGAAGUGAACCAAUGAUACUCAUGUAUAGCUUUUGGUCAACUUUUUUUCCUCCCUCAUCUUUGUCCAGCUUCAAAGAACUUGACAUUGGUAUAUCAGUCUUUUUGCAAUUCUCCAGUCCAAACUUUUUGACAAGUUCUUUAACAUAUUUUUCUUGAUGAAUAAAGGUUCCUUUCUUCAGUUGCUCCACUUGAAGCCCGAUAAAGAAGAUUAGUUCACCCAUCAUGUUCAUUUCAAAUUCAUCUUGCAUAGACUUAGAGAAUUUCUUACACAUAUUUUCAUUAGAAUAUCCAAAAAUAAUAUCAUCAACAUAAAUUUGAACAAGUAAAAAGCUUUUGCUUUCUCUUUUGAUAAACAGUGUAGUAUCUACUUUACCUUUGACAAAACCAUUUUGAAUUAAAAACUUACUUAGUCUGUCGUACUAAGCUCGAGGUGCUUGCUUUAAACCAUAUAGAGCCUUUUUCAAUCUGAAUACAGAGUUUGGUUUCCUUGGGUCUUCAAAACCGGGUGGUUGUUCCACAUAGACUUCCUCUUGGAUAAAUCCAUUUAGGAAAGCACUUUUGACGUCCAUUUGGAAUAACUUGAAAUUAUUAUAACAAGCAAAAGCAAGUAAUAAUCUAAUUGCUUCUAACAUUGCUACUGGCGCGUAAGUCUCAUCAUAGUCUAUCCCUUCUUCUUGCGUAUAUCUUUUGGCCACGAGUCUUGCUUUGUUUCUUACGACUUUUCCUUUCUCGUUCAUCUUGUUCCUGAAAACCCAUUUAGCUCCAAUGAUGGAUUUACUUCGGUUUAGGAGUCAAUUCCUAGACAUCAUUGAUACUGAAUUGCCUGAGUUCUUCUUGCAUAGCUUCAAUCUAGCUUUCAUCAGUUAAAGCUUCUUCUAUGCUUUUGGGUUCUAUUUCAGAAAUAAGAGUCACAGCACUAGACUCUUCACGCCUUUUGAAUUUUUGUGCGAAUUCCUUCAUUAAUAUCACCAAUAAUGAGAUCUUAGGGAUGACUGGACUAAUGCUUCAAGUUGUUGGUUGAUUUGUCAAACAGUUGAUCAUUUCCCUCAUUUGAAUCUUCAAUGAUCAUUUGUUGCUGGUCUUCUGAAGUUUGAGAUGCUUUUGGAGAUUUAGACUUUGUAGAGUCUGGAGCAGGUUUAGAUUCUUCAAGUUGAAUCUGAAUCGAUUGAUUUUGCAUAAAGUCUUGAAAUUUGACAUUCAUUGAUUCCUCCACAGAUUGAGGCUUUUUGUUGUAUACUCUGUAAGCUUUGCUUGUGAUUGAAUAUCCAAGGAAAAUACCUUCAUCUGAUUUUUCUUCUAACUUACCAACUCGAUCAUUUGUAUUUUUCAAUAUAAUACAUUUGCAUCCAAACACAUAAAAAUACGAAACAAUUGGCUUCUUUCCUUUGAAUAACUCAUAGGGAGUUUUCUCCAGAAUAGGCUUUAAUAAGACUCUAUUAAUAAUAUAGCACGCUGUAGAAACUACUUCAGCCCAAAAACGAGAAGAGAUGUUACUUUCAAUUAAAAGAGUUCUAGCCAUUUCCUGCAGCAAUCUAUUCUUUCUUUCCACAACCCCAUUUUGCUCUGGAGUAUAUGGUGAAGAAAACACAUGCUAAAAGCCAGAUUCAUCACAGGAUUUUGCAAAGUCUUGAUUUUCAAAUUCACCUCCAUGGUCAGUCCGUAUACUUGAAAUAACAUACCCUUUCUCAUUUUUAGCAAACUUUAUAAAAUAAGAAAAGGUUUUAGACUUACUUGCCAGGAAAUAUACCCAAGUGAAUCGUGAAUAAUCAUCCACAAUUACUAGGCAAUAUUUCUUACCUCCAAUGCUCUGAGUUCUGGUUGGUCCAAAAAAAUCCAUAUGCAAGAGCUGCAGUACACGAUUAGUGGAUAUUUGAUUUAUUGGUUUGAGUAAAUUUCUUACAUGUUUUCCCAACACGCAUGGUGUGCAUAGAUCAGACUUUUGGUAUGUCAAUUUGGGUAGUCCAUGAACAAGCUUCUUUGCUGAGAUUUUGGCUAUUUGCUUCAUGUUGAUGGGCUCAAGUUUUUUGUGCCAUAAGUUUGCUUCCUCUUGAAUUGAGAUUAGACAUUGGGUUUCAUCUGGUUUGAUAUCCAAGACCAUGUCUUCGCCCCGUGAAAGAUUGAGAGGAGUCUUUACUGGUUCAUGAACAUAUUCCUUCUUGAAAGUUGAUUUUGAAACCAGUGUACCACAGCUGACUGAUACUCAGCAAGUUCUAGUUGAGUCCUUGUACUAAGGAAACAUUACUGAUCGUGAGGCUUCCAAUCUUUACAGUUUUGUAUCCCAUAAUUAUUUCUUGCUAUUUCCUCCAAAAGAAACUUUUCCACCAUUAACUUGUACAAGUUUUAUGAAACAAUUUGAGUCUCCUGUCAUAUGUUUUGAGCAUCCACUAUCCAAGUACCAUUUAACAUUUUUCUUGAUAGUGCCCUGCAUUUAGAAAAGAAACUCAAGCUUUCUUUGGUACCCAUAUUUUCUUGGGUCCAUUGGUGUUAGUCUAAUAUAUGGUAUUUGCCCAUAUCUUCUUAAUAGGUUUCCAAACCAUAGGACAUUCUUUCUCAAAAUGAUCUGAGCUAUUGUACUUAGAACAUUUAAGAGCACUGCGGCCUACAGGUUUUACAAAAACUUUUUGGAAAUGAUCUUUGUAAAAAUCUUUUAUAGGUCUUUGCUUAAUUCUUUCAUUUACUUUAGGAAAAUCAAUUAUAGGAACAGUCAUUCCUAAACCUGAUUUGUUGAAGUAAGGUCUUUGUGCUGAAAGAAUUUUUUCAAGUUUCUCAGAUCCUAUAGAAAAUCUUUUAGAAAUACUUGAGAUAUUAUUUUUCAAGAAUGCAUUUUCUUUUGAAAAAUUGUCUGCAUUUUCUUUCAAAGUAGUAACACUUUUGUCUAAACUUUUGACCUCUUUCCAAACAUUUUCCUGUUGUUUUAGUGCAGAAUUUUCCCUUUUAAGUUCGGAAAUCCUUUUAAGAGGGAUUUUAAGACUAAGACACAAUUCAUCAAUAUAUCUAGAGACUUUAGUAUGAAUUUUUAAAUUACUUACCUCAGUUUCACUGUCCGAGUCUGAGUCUGUCUCUGAGUCUGAAUCUGAGUCUAAUUGAGCCAUGAGACAAAUAUUAGCAUAGUCAUCACCUUCCUCACAUUUGGUAUCACUCCAAGUGUCUACUUUAAGUGUCUUUCGAUAUUUCUCAGCUUUUCCUUUCUUUCUCUUCAGAAGGGGACAAUUGGGUCUGAUGUGUCCUUUUUUCUUGCAUUCAAAGUAGAUUACAUAUUUAUUGGAUUCAUUAUCCUCAACUGAUUUAUUUUGUGGCUUUUGAAAACUUUGUUUCUUUGGAUUGAACCUUCUUCCCUUUCUGUUCAGUUUUCUGAACCUUCUUAUCAUGAGAGCAAGCUCUUCAUCAUCCAUAUUGUCUUCAGAAUCUGUGACAUCAUAAUCAUCAUUAGAUUUUAAUGCAAUGGAUUUCUUAUAUUUAGGAUCUUCAUCUUCAUUGAUUUGCUCCACUUCAUAAGACUGAAGAGUCCCAACCAAUUUGUCAACAGAGAGUGGCAUGAUUCUUUGUGUCUCCCUUAUUGAAGUCUUUAUGUGAUUCCAAUCCUUGGAUAGUCAACGCAGUAACUUGUUAACCUUCAUGGGUCCAGAAAUUGGUUGACCUUGAUAUUCAAGACCAUUCAUGAUUUCUGUAAAAUGACUAAACAUGUCAGUCAUAGAUUCUCCUGGUUUCAUCUUGAAUGCUUCAUAUUGACCGAGCAGAAUGUUGAUUCUGGUUUCUUUCACUCGAUCAGUUCCUUCAUAGGUAAUGUGCAAUCUAUCCCAGACUUCUUUAGUUGUUUCACAAGAAGAUAUUCUGUUAUAUUCAAUAGGAGAUAAUGCACAAUAUAAAGAAUAAAUUGAUUUUGCUUCAAGAGCUUGUCUCUUGGUUAUCUCUUCAUGAGUCAUUUUACUGGACUCAACAGCUUAUUUUCCUUUUUCUAAGACUGUGGCAGCUUUAGGAAUGAUUUCUUUGUCUACCACGUCCCAUUCCAGAGGAUCCUUUGAUUUUAGGAAUGCCUUCAUCUUGUUUUUCCAUAUGUUGUAUUCAUUUCCAUCAAAAUAAGGUGGUCUGUUAUUGCUUUGCCCUUCAACCAGGCCUGGAGCCAACAUACUAGCCAUGCAUCUUUAACUCUGAAGUAAAACACUUCAACUUAAGUGAGUACACAGGGUCUUAUACCAAUUGCGAAAAUCUAGUACGAGCACCUAGAAGGGGUGAAUAGGUGCAAAGACGAAUUUUCCAAAGUGAAGUGAUCAACUUUGAUCAGCAAUAGAUUAUGAAAAAGAAAUAGACUCAUGUAAUCAAAUUGAAUUACGAUCAAAGUAAAAGAGCUUAGGGAAGAGAAUAAAAACAUAGAGUUUAUAGUGGUUCGGCUUAGUCCAAGCCUACGUCCACUCUUCCGCAUUGACAUCCCACUAGCUGGAUUUCACUAUGAAUCAAAAGAGUUGUUACAAUACAGCUCUUCCUUGAUUCCACAGUGUAGAGACUCUGCUACACUUCCUCAAGGUCUCACAAAGAUAUAAACUCUCUUUUGAGUACAAGAUUUCGCUCCACAAUUGAAUUGACUAAGAAUAAAGAGCUUUAGACUUUGGAAUUCUUCUAUUGCGCACACACUCGAAUAACUGGAACGUUUUCCUUAUAUACUCCUUCAUGCCAUCACACCCGUUGGCACUUACCAAAUGAGUUCUUCCAAUCUACUUGUUAGACAUAAUCAAUUAGAGAGAUUUCGAGUUAUUUAAGAAAUAUGCCGAUAGCCCACCAAUCAUGCUCGCUCAUACAAUCAUGAUCUAGGUUUCUAUAAGUAGAACCUUCCAAGUAUACUUUGCCAAUUAACAGAUCCAAAAUCCCUGAAUCAAUCUCAAUUUGAAUAAUGGAUUCUGACAUGCUAUAUCCAGCCAAGAGAUCUUCUUCAGUCAAUAGAAUCAAAUCCUUAACGAAAUACUCAGUUCUAGAUAAGCCUUCUUCGACGAUCUAGAAAUUGUCAAUGAGGAUAGACUUUAAGUCUUGAGUCUGGCAAUCCGGUGGUCUUCAGACUUUGAUGAAAGAGUUUGCAGACUUUGAUAGAAGAGUUUGCAAGUCUUCAGACUAAACUGAUGGAAAUGUUUUGUCAACUUCAAAACACUCAAUGAAGAUUUCUCCAACAAAUGGGUGUGAAGAACAUUUUUUGCAAGAUCUAGUAGAAGUUUUUAUUUUUUUUAAGAUAAUAAACUAUGAACGAGUUUAGCUUUAAACUGUUAGAUAAAACUUCAAAUAAAUGAGUUUAAGCUUAAAUAGUUAACUAGAGCUACGAAUCAAAAUAAAAAGAGUUUAAGGAAGAGAAUAAGAACACGAAGUUUAUAGUGAUUCGGCUUAGAUCAAACUUACUCCACUCUCCCGCAUUAACAACCCACUGGCUAGAUUUCACUAAGAAUUAAAAGAGAUUUACAACUUGUGAUCUUGACUUCUCAAUAAAGAGUCUCUAUUGGUCUCUCACAGAGUCUCCCGCGCUUACGUCAACUCUCCUGUGCUAAUAGCUCACUGGCUAGAUUUCACUAAGAAUCAAAAGAGAUUUACAACUUGUGAUCUUGACUUCUUAAUGAAGAGUUUCUACUGGUUUCUCACAGUCUCACUAUGAGUAUCUCUCUUUUGUGUAUACGACUUGAGCACGGUGAAUGAAAUAACAAUGAACUAGGAAGCUUCAGACUUUGAAAUUUUUCUUUCACGCACACUUUCGAACAACUAGAAAGUUCGCCUUAAAUACUCCUUCAUGCCUUCACGACCGUUGGCACUUUCCACAAUAAUUCUUCUAAUCUACACAUUGGAUAGAAUCAAUCAAAGUAAUAUCGAGUCGUUAGAUGAUUGUGAUGAAAGCCCGUCAAUCAUGUUCACCCAUACAAUCAGGAUUUUGGUUUCCAUAAGUAGAACAUUCUAAGUUUGCUUGCCUUCCAAAAGAUUUGAACAUCGAAAUUGAUUCCAAUAAAAAUAAUCAAUCAUGUAGGUACUAUAUCCAGCCAUAAAGUCAUCCAUGAACCAUACGAAUCGAAUCCUUGAAGAUAAUCUUGCAUCUGGAUAAGUCUUCAUUCUUCAGUCUGGAAACUAUCAGUGUGGGCAGACUUUGAAUCUAAAGUCUAGCAGUCUUCAGACUUUGACGCUAGAGUCUGGAAGUCUUCAGACUAGACUUUUGGAAAUGUUUUGUCAACUUCAAAAUAGUAAAUAAGUUUUCUCCAACACCAAGAAUGGGGAAAAAGGUAGACUCAAACUCCACCUCACAUGGACACCCAAAACGGACGUGACGUACCUCCAUCUAAGGACUUGAAAAAUUUUAAACCACGACGGGGUGAGAUAAAUCUCAAUUAUUCUACACCCGAAAUCCCGAUUAAGACAAGAAUUCACUCAGAGGCAACUUAAACAGGCGUCACACACGAACUUACCUCGCCUCUGCGUCUCCCUGCACAUUAGCUCAUCAUAUGUAUCAUAUGCAUACAACAAACGUAUUUCAUAACUGGAACACAUCAAUUCAUCUUUCAAAUAAUCACAUGGAUUCUGAUUAUAAGGCCAAAUCGUUAUGACACAUCCCAUUUCGUGCCACACAAUUUUGUCCAAUAAUCAAGCGCGGCUAUCUCAAUCACUCACACAUGUCUCAGUUAUUACGACCCAUCGGCCAUGUCCAACUCAAUAGUCGACAGUCAUCUGGCAUAACUAGGUGUCGUCUCGCCUCAUCGAGCACGGCAUCGUCCCACGUAAACGCAUCAGGACGGCAUUCCAUAAGGAGCAUCGAUGCAGUUUGUUAGAGAAAACUCAUUUAUUGUUUUGAAGCUGACAAAAAAUUUCCAAAAGUCUAAUAUGAAGAUUUACAAACUCAAGUAUUAUAGUUUGAAGAACUCCAUACGCUAUUGUCAAAGUCUGAAGACCACCAAACAUAAGUGUCAAAGUCUGCCCUCACUGAGAGUUUCCAAACCGAAGAAUGAAGACUUAUACAAAUAUUGGAUUAUUUUCAAGGAUUCGAUUCGUAUGGUUUUUGGAAGACCUUAUCGCUAGAUAUAACAUCUACUCAUUUGAUUAUUCUUAUUGGAAUCUACUCCGAUACGAAGAUCUUUUGAAGGGAGGGAAAACUUGGAAAGUUUUACUUAUGGAAACCAAGAUCCUGAUUGUAUGGGCGAACAUGAUUAACAAGCUUUCAUCAUCAAUCAUCAACGACUCGAGAUCACCUUAAUUGAUUCUGUCCAACGGGUAGAUUGGAAGAAUUUCUUUGGAAAGUGUCAACGGUCGUGAAGGCAUGAAAGAGUAUUUAAGGAUGAUUCUCCAGUUGUUCAAAGUGGUGUGUGAAAGAAUAAUUUCAAAGUCUGAGUCUCUAUAGUUCAUUGCUCUUUCAUUCAUCGAGCUCAAAGUUGUACACAAAAAGAAAGAAACACAUAGUGAGACUUUGUGAGAGAUUAGUAGAAACUCUUCACUGAGGAAGUCGAGAUCACAAGUUGUAAAAUCUCUUUUGAUUCAUAGGGAAAUCCAGCCAAUGGACUGUCAACACGGGAGAGUGGACGUAGGCUUGAUCUAAGUCGAACCACUAUAAACGUUGUGUUUCUAUUCUUUUUCCCUAAACUUCUUACUUUUAAUUCGAAGCUUUAUAUAUUUGUUUAAAGUUGAUUACAUUCUUAUUCUAUUAUCUUCUAAAGGUAAUUUACUUUUACUAAGUCUUGCCAAAAAAUAUAAUAAUAACACCUAUUCACUCCCCUCUAGGUGUUUAUACUAGCCAUUUCAAUUGGUAUCAGAGCUUGCGUGCUCAUUUUAUUGAAAUGUUUUUACUUCUGAGCUAAAGAUCUAUGGCUAGUAUUUUGGCUCCAGGUUUAAUUGAAGGCCAAAGCAACACCAGAUUUCCUUACUUUGAUGUGAAGGAAUACAAUGUGUGGAAAAACAAGAUGAAGGCAUUCUUGAGAUCAAAAGAUCCCCUGGAAUGGGAUGUGGUAGAAAAAUGAAUCAUUCCUAAAGCUACAUCAAUCUCAGAGAGAGAAAAAGAAGUUGCAGACGCUGGUGAAAUGGGAUAAGAAAAAAUAACCAAGAGACAAGCUCUUAAUGCUAAAGCCAUAUAUUCAUUAUAUUGUCUUUAUCUCCUACUAAGUAUAAUAGAAUUUCAUCUUGUGAAACAGUAAAAGAAGUAUGGGAUAAGUUGCACAUCACCUAUGAAGGAACUGAUCGAGUUAAAGAAACAAAAAUCAAUAUCUUAUUUGGACAGUAUGAAGCCUUCAAGAUGAAGUCAGGAGAAUCCAUCACUGACUUGUUUAGUCAUUUCACAAAGAUUGUAAAUGGUCUAACAUAUCAAGGAUAGCCAAUUUCAGGACCAAUGAAGGUCAAUAAAUUGCUGCGUGGACUCUCUAAAGACUGGAAUUACGUGAAGACUUCUAUAAGAGAAACCCAGAUGAUCAUGCCUCUUUUGGUAGAUAAAUUAGUUGGCACACUUCAAUCAUAUAAAGUGGAGCAAAUCAAUUAGGAGAAAUAUCCUAAAGGUAAUAAGUCAAUUGCAUUAAAAUCUAAUGAUUUGAUGAUAUAGAUUCAGAAGAUGACAUGGACGAUGAAGAGCUACUACUCAUGAUAAGAAGGUUUAGGAAGCUGAAUAAGAAGGGAAGAAGAUUUAACUGGAAGAAGCAAGGCACUCAAAAAUUCCAAAACAGAUCAACUGAGAAUGAUGAAGUCAACAAAGAUGUGGUUUGCUUUGAAUGCAAGAAAAAUGGACAAAUCAGACCUAACUGCCCUUUCUUGAAGAAAAAGAAAGGAAGAACUGAGAAAUUCAAUAAGGCUCUCAAAGUAGAAACAUGGAGUGAUAUUGAAUGCGAGGAAAGUGAUAAAUAGCAUGCCAACAUAUGUUUAAUGGUCAAUUUAGAUUCAGACUUAGACUCUGAAAUACUCUGAAAUAUAUUCAGAUUCAGACUCAAACAAUGAAAUCGAGGUUAGCGAUUUGAAAAUUCAUGUUAAAGUUUUGAAGUAUAUAAAUGAACGUUGUCUUAGUCUCAAAACCUCACUUAAAAUGAUUUCCAAGCUAAAGAUGGAGAAUUCUAAACUGAGACAACAUGAAAUUUCUUGGAAAGAAGAGUUUGAAAUCUAGACAAAAUUUUUGUUAAUUUGAAAGAAAAUGCAUAUUCUCUUUUGAAUGAAAAUACCUUUUUGAAAGAGUAUAUUUCAAAUAUCACAAAAAGAUUUUCAAUAGAAUCUGAGAAGUUGGAAAAGAUUCUUUCAAUAUAAAGACCUUAUUUCAACAAAUCUGGUCUGGGUAUGACACCAGAAACUAUUCAUUUAAUUGAUUUUCCAAAAGUAAAGGAAAUAAUCAAAUAAAGGCCUACAAAAAUAUUUUACAAUAACCAUUUUCAAAAAAUAUUUGUAAAACUUGUCGGUCGAAGUGCACUAAAAUGUUCAAAGUGUAAUAGCUCUGAACAUUUCGAGAAAAAAUGUCCAAAGGUUUGGAGACCUGUUAAGAAGGAUUGGGCAAAGACUGUAUUUAGUACUAACUCCCAUAGACGCAGGAAAAUGUGGAUACCAAAGAAAGCUUAAGUUCUUUUAUAAUUACAUGUCACUAUCAAGAAAAAGAUCGAAUGCUAUUUGGAUAGUGACUACUCUAGACACAUGACUGGAGAUUUAAGUUGUUUUAUAAAGCUUGUGCAAAUAAAUGGUGGAAAAGUUUCUUUUGGUGGAAACAGUAAAGGAAGAAUUGUUGGAUGCGGAACUGUGAAGAUUGGAAGUUUCACAAUCAACAAUGUUUCCUUAGUGGAAUGUUUAAAUUACAAUCUACUUAGCAUUAGUCAACUGUGUGAUAUUGGAUUCAAAAUCAAUUUUGAAGAAGGCAUUUGUUUGGGAACUAGUAAAAGUUUCUCUUAAUAUUUCACUGGACGAAGACAUGGAAAUAUUUACCUUAUGAAUAUAAAACCAGAAAAUUCUCAGUAUCUAAUCUUCAUUCAAGGUGAAGCAAACAUUUGGCAUCGAAAGUUUAGCCAUGUUAACAUGAAGCAGAUUGCCAAGAUUUCCUCCAAGAAGCUUGACUUAUCAAAAGUCUGACUUAUGCACACCAUAUGUUUUGGGAAAACGGGUUAGAAGUUCUUUUAAACAGAUAAAUCAAGUUUCUACUAAUCGAGUUUUGCAGCUUCUGCAUAUAGAUCUCUUUCGACCAACCAAAAUGCAAAGCAUUGGUGGAAAAAGAUAUUGCCUAGUAAUUGUGGAUGAUUACUCUUACUUUCCUGGCGAGUAAGUCUGAAACUUUCUCUUACCUUUCAAAAUUUGUCAAGAAGGUUCAGAAUAAGAAAGGUUAUGCUAUUUCAAGCAUACAGACAGACCAUGGAGGUGAGUCGAAAAUCAAGACUUUGCAAAACUCUGUGAUGAAUAUGGUUUUCCAACAUAUUUUCUCUUCUCCAUAUACUCCAGAACAGAUGAGAUUGUGAAAAGAAAAAAUAAAUCUUUGCAGGAAAUAGCAAGAACAAUCUUAAUUGAGAGUAAUAUUUCUUCUCAUUUUUGGUCUGAAGUAGUCUUUACAGCUUGCUAUAUCAUUAGCAUAUUAUUUUUAAGACCUAUUCUAGAGAAAAAUCCUUAUGAAGUGUUUAAAGGGAAAAAAGUCAAAUGUUUCUUAUUUUCAUGUAUUUGGUUGUAAGUGUUUUGUUUUGAAAAAUGCAAAUGAUCGAAAUAGUAAGUGUGAAGAAAAGUCAGAUGAGACAAUUUUCCUUGGCUACUCUAUCUCGAGCAAAGCAUAUAGAAUUUUCAAUGAAAAGACUCAAUCCGUGGAAGAAUCGAUGAACAUCAAGUUUCAAGAAUCUAUGCAGAAUCAACUAGAUCAGACUCAACUUGAAGAAUUUGAACCUACUCUAAAUUUUACAAAGUCUACUUCCCUGAAGUGGUUCCAACUUCUAAAGAUAAACAACAAGUAGAACCAGAAGAUUAAAUUGAAACAGAGGAUCAGCAGACUUCAAAACCAACCAGUAACUGGAAGCAUAAGUCUAGUCAUCUCAAGGAACUCAUCAUUGGCAACAUUGAUGAAGGAAUUUGCACCAGAUUCCAAAGGCAAGUAGAGUCUAGUGCUUUAGCACUUGUUUCUGAAAUUGGACCCAAAAGUAUAGAAGAAGCCUUGGCUGAUGAAAGCUGGAUUGAAACUAUGCAAGAAGAGUUCAGACAAUUCAGCAUUAACGAUGUUUGAGAGCUAAUUCCUAAACCUAAAAGUAAGUCUAUUAUUGGAAUUAAAUGGGUUUUUAGGAAUAAGGUGGACGAGAAAGGAAAAUUGGUUAGGAAUAAAGCAAGACUUGUGGCCAAAGCAUAUAUGCAAAAAGAAUGGAUGGACUAUGAUGAGACCUAUCCACCAGUAGCAAGGUUGAAAGCAAUUAGAUUAUUACUUGUUUUUGCUUACUAUAAAAAUUUAAGGCUAUUCCAAAUAGAUGUAAAAAGUGCAUUCCUAAACGAAUUCAUCCAAGAAGAAGUUUAUGUGGCACAACCACCUAGAUUUGAAGUUCCAAGAAAGCCAGACUCAGUCUUCAGACUGAAAAAAGCCCUGUAUGGAUUAAAGCAAGCACCUCGAGCUUGGUAUGAAAGGUUAAGUAAAUUCCUAACUCAAAAUGAUUUUGUUAAAGGUGGAUACUACUUUGCUCAUUAAAAGAGAAGGUAAAGAUUUCUUACUUGUUCAAAUUUAUGUUAAUGAUAUUAUUUUUAGAUCACCUAAUGAAAAUCUAUGCAAUAAGUUUUCUAAGUCUAUGUAGGAUGAAUUCGAGAUGAGCAUGACGGGUAAAUUAACUUUCUUUCUCAUAUCACAAAUUAAACAAUUGAAGAAAUGAAUUUUCAUUCAUCAAGAAAAAUAUGCAAAAGAUCUCAUCAAGAAAUUUGGAUUAGAAAAUUACAAAAAGACUGAGAUAUCAAUAUCAAGUUCUUCAUAGCUGGGCAAAGAUGAAGGAGGAAAGAAAGUUGACCAGAAGCUCUAUAGGAGUAUUAUUGGUUCGCUUCUUUACCUUACUGCAUCUAGACUUGACAUUUUGUUUAGUGUUUACAUUUGUGUUAGAUUCCAAUCAGAUCCCAAAGAAUCUCAUCUAAGUACUGCAAAACGCAUAGUCAAAUAUGUUGCGACUACUCCAAAGCUAGGUCUGUGGUACCCCAAAUAAUGAGACUUUACUCUCCUUGGAUAUUUAGAUGCAGAUUUAGCAGGUUGCAGAGUUGAUAGAUAUAAUACUUCUGGUACUUGUCAAUUGCUGAGCAACAAACUGGUGUCUUGGUUCUCAAGAAAACAGAGUAUCGUAGCUCUUUCAACAGCUGAAGCAGAGUAUGUGGCUCUUGGAAGUUGCUAUUCUCAAAUUUUGUGGAUAAAGCAACAACUAAGAGACUUUGAAAUUGAAAAAUCGUGCACCGAAAUCAAAUGCGAUAACACCAGUGCCAUCAAUCUCACAAAGAAUCAAAUUCUUCAUUCAAGAGCAAAGCACAUAGAAAUUCAACACCAUUUCAUUAGAGAUCAUGUUCAGAACGGAGAAGUUAUGAUUCAAUUCAUUGACUUGAAGAAUCAGUUGGCAAGCAUAUUUACAAAGCCACUGGAGAAAAGUCUAUUUGAGUCUAUUCGCACCAGACUGAAUAUCAUAUAUUCUAUCGGGUAAAGUCUAAAGGUGUUCAGACUUAGAAUGUACAAAAGUUGCGACAAUAAGUUAAUCCUUUCUAAAUGCAUGUCACUUUAUUUUAGAUAAAAUUUUUGAAAAGGUACGUUAAUUUUUAUUCUUUUUAAUCGUUACUUGCCUAUUUUAUUUUUAGAAUUUAUCUUUUUUUAGUUAUGAAUUUAUGGCAGUUUUUCAUUUUCAAAAAUGCAAUUUUUACUUUUUCCUUUGUGACGAUUAGAAUACCCGUUUCAUUUGCUUUAUAUACUGUCGAUUUUCUUCUUCUUCAUUUUCACUCACAAACCCUAGAAUAUAGAACUCCCACUUCUCACUCUCUCUCUAGUUUAAUCCGAAAAGAUUUCACAUUUUUUCACGAUCGAGUUCGAGGAAUCCCCCAAAGAAAGUGACAAUGUCUUCUCAAAGAAAGUCUUCUAGAAUCGUGAGCAAGGGACCACAACAUAUGCAUGAAGGUCCUACACACUUUGAUCUGACCAAGGAAGAAGACUCUCCUCAGCAGCAGCAGCAAAGUCAACAACAACAUUCUCAAUGGCAUCACUCUUCUCAACAUAAGACUCAAGAUCCUCCACAGCAACAACCAGAAGAAGAAAUUUUGGAAGACGUGGAACAUGUAAGAACGUUGAAACUCAAAUUUCUCUUUAAACUCUACUCUAAGUUAAAACAAGGUGGAACUACGAUGACUUUCAUUGAUGAGUUCUUGAGUGAGAGAGGGAACAGGAAUGAGACUCACUUUUUGAGAACAAUGGAAAGUAUGGGCAUUGCGCCUGUAGGUUUCGUAGCAAGGAUCUUUGCCAACUUUCCAAAUGAUCCACGGUUUGGUAAUUUUAAUCAACCUAAAGGGAAAGAUAACGAUGAAAAGAUGUACACAAAUUUUCAGCCUAAGAUGGGUGUCACUGCAAAUGUUCAUGGUGAGAGGACGGAUUUAUUUUAUUCUAAGGACCAUAAGAAAACUUAUUCGAAACUGUUGAAGUGAGGAGUUAUGAACCCUAGAAGCGUGGACUUCGAUUUUCUUUAUUUGUUGAGAGUAAAACUGGGGGAGAAGUUUACACUCCUUCAACUCAAACGUUUUUGCUCUAAGACGAUUGUCGCCUACCUAGAACUUACGGCUUACUUCUAUUCGAAUCUAUAUUUUCUAGAUGCGAAUAUAUUCUCUUUUACAAUUAGGGAAAAAUAAUUUGUGGUCGAUGUGGACACAUUGGCUGAUGUGAUUGGGGUGACAAGAGGAAGUUUCCAACCAAUCAGUGUAUCUAUUGCUCACGCUACUUUGGAACUUGUUCGGGACAGAUUUGCUGAAAGCAGAAUUUCUUACUCAAGAAUGAAUACCUAUAAUAUUUUGCUUCACAAGAUUGUGAUCAACUGCAUCAGACCCAAAUCCACUUCAAAAACUGAUGUCUAUCACUCUGAAGCGAAGAUAAUGUAUGCAAUUAACAUCGGAUUCAAGUUCUCUUUGCCUCACACUAUCUUAAUGAACGUGUAUAGGACACUUGUGAAGGAUAAGGGGCAAUUUCCUUACUCUGCUCUUGUUACUCAACUAUUCAUACAUUUCAAUAUUCAGCCUCCUGUUAUUCCAUGUGUUCGAACCAUUGUUCCAUGGUAGUUGGACUGAAAAUGAUUUCUAAGAUGCGUCAAAAGGAGGUGAACAAGGCAUUGGAGCAACUGAAGGAGAAAUCCCCUGCCAAAACUAAACAAGACUCUACAGUGAAGAAGAGAAAAGGCGAAGAACCAAUGACUGCACCAAUCAAGAAAAUGAGAGCCCUUAUUUUACAAGAUGAAGAAGAUGAGGAUGAUAUCACUCUCUUUGCUUUUGGCUUGAGAAAUUUAAAGAUCUUUGUUAGUUUUGAUGCGCUAGAUGAUUGAGAGCACAGAGAAAGAGAAGAGACAGAGAAGAGAGAUGAAGACAGAGAACAGAGGAGAACAGAGGAAAAGGAAAGAAGAACAAAGGAAGAAAGAGAAAGAGAAGAAGAAGAAGAAGAAGAAGAAGAAGAAGAAGAAGAAGAAGAAGAAGAAGGUCAAGAUAAUUCUUUUGAGAAAAACAUUUGUUGUAUCCUUGUCGGAAGAAUCGGAUAAGACAAGGAGAGGAAAUGCAGGAGAAGAAAGAGAAAAACAUCACAUUGGUGUUGAAGAAGAGAAAUAACGGGAAAAUGAAUUAUUUUCUCCACCUGAAGGCAUAGAAACAGAGGGAGCAACUGACAAAAGAGGAACUUCUUCACCUAUUUUCACUAGUGAUGUUAGUAGAUCUCCAGCAGAUCUAGAGGAUGUCUAUGCCUCUCAAUAUCCUGAAGCAGAUCUUGAGGCAUCCUCUCUAAGUCCUGGUGAUCGAAUAGCUGGUGUUCCCUUACAUCUCAAGACUCCUAGAAUUGACUCCGCUGGACCUAGUGCUACAUCAAAACCAAUAGUAGACUUUCAAAGGCUGUUAGAUCUCCUUUUGGAAUUGAAGGGUCAGCAAUAUGGUUUCGAGUUUGAGAUAAAUAACAUGAUGAAAGUUCUCAAUUCGACUUCGGACUCUCUACAAGAGUAGCUACAAGCCCUGAAGAUUCAAAUGCAAGAAAAUGCAAAGGGUGAGGAUAUUCAACAGCUGAAGGAGACUCUGAAGAAGUUGGAGGACACUGUCAAGUCUAUGGAGGAAUUCUAGCUCGUUAGAAUCCCAAAACAGCCAUGACUUUUUACCCAACUCUUUUAUAGUUAUUCUCCACUUUUUGUUGUUGACAAAAAGGGAGAGAGUUUGCAUAGUUUGUGCAAAUUUGACCUAACUUAUCUUUUUGGGCACAACACUUUUUGCUUGGUUUGAUUUUGAUGACUUUUUGUUUGGUUUGGACUUUGGUAUUUUAUUUUGGUUUUGGACUGAUAUAUUUUGGAUUUUUUACUGCUAUUUGGUUUUGAAUCUUUUUGACGUUUGUAGUAAUUGAGUUUUUGAUUUUGAUUAUGGCUGGAUAGUUAUUUAUCUUACAUGAUUAACAUGUUUUCUGUGGUUGCAGAAUCUAUGCUAUGUAGGUCCUAAUCAACUUACUGUUAUAAGAUAUCACAUUUUGCUUAAGUGUUGUUUUGCAGGUCAAAAUUUUCAAAUCUGCAGGAAAGUUUGGUCACAUAAAAAAGGCGGGAUACUAUUAGAGAAAACUCCUUUAUUGUUUUGAUGCUGACAAAACCUUUCCAAAAUUCUAAUCUGAAUAUUUACAGACUCAAGUAUUAUAGUUUGAAGAAUUCUAGACUCUAUUGUCAAAGUCUGAAGACCACCAGACAUAAGUUUCAAAGUCUGUCCUCACUGACAAUUUCCAAACUAAAGAAUGAAGACUUAUCCAGAUGUCGGAUUAUCUUCAAGGAUUCGAUUCGUAUGGUUUUUGGAAUACCUUAUGGAUGGAUAUAACAUCUACUCAUUUGGUUAUUCUUAUUGGAAUCUACUUCGAUACGAAGAUCUUUCGAAGGGUGAGCAAACUUGGAAGGUUCUACUUAUGGAAACCAAGAUCUUGAUUGUAUGGGCAAACAGGAUUGACGGGCUUUCAUCACCAAUCAUUCAACAACUCAAGAUCACCUUAAUUGAUUAUGUCCAAUGGGUAGAUUGAAAGAAUUCCUUUGGAAAGUGCCAACGGUCGUGAAGGCAUGAAGGCGUAUUUAAAGAUGAUUCUCCAAUUGUUCAAAGCGUGCAUGAAAGAAGAAUUUCAAAGUCUAAAGCUCUAUAGUUCCUUGCCGUUUCAUUCAUCGAGCUCAAAGUUGUACACAAAAAGAGAGAAACACAUAGUGAGACUUCGUGAGAGAUUAGUAGAAACUCUUCACUGAGGAAGUCGAGAUCACAAGCUAUAAAAUCUCUUUUGAUUUAUAGUUAAAUCCAGCCAGUGGGCUAUCAGUGCAAGAGAGUGGACGUAGGCUUGAUCUAAGCCAAACCAUUAUAAACAUUGUGUUUCUUUUUUUUUUUUUUUGGUGACCUAGGAAACCUCGCACAGCUGGCAGCCGGAGGUAAACCAUUGGGGGUGACACGUGCCAAACACCACACACGUGCCACCAAGUAAGUCGCCAAGAGACUCAAAGCUAGCCUUCUUGCAACUUGCGUUGCAGGAGUUUCGAACAUUAGACCUCCUUGAUGGAAGUCUAGCGCCUACCCAGCUAAGCCACUGCGGCGGGUGGUGUGUUUCUAUUCUCUUUCCCUAAACUUCUUACUUUUAAUUCGAAGCUUUAUAUAUUUGUUUAAAGCUGAUCACAUUCUUAUUCUAUCAUCUUCUAAAGGCAAUUUACUUUUACUAAGUCUUGCAAAAAAAAAAAUUAACACCUAUUCAUCUCCGCUCUAGGUGUUUAUACUAGCACUUUCACAAUCUUCACUGUGACCGGCAUCCGUUGAUGUGAGGCAUCCGAACUUAAUCAUGCAUUGUCCUACAUAAACGCAUCAGGACGGGUUCACUACCCCGCGUAAACACAUCAGGGUAUUUAGGUGACCACACACCAGCACAUAUUUGGCUAAAAACAUCAUGCUUUGCACUCAAAUAUCUCAAUUUCAAAUAAUGGACUUGGCCAAUUUUCUUUGUAUUAAAAAUCAUCUCAGUAAAAUAAUCGCGCAUGGUCACGCAUUUGAAUCGAACCAAUAAGCGUGGUACAUUCUCAUUUCAAAAUUCCAUGAUUUUAUAUACUAUAUAAAAUUUUGUCGUCAAAAACCGACACCCGGUAUUUUUCCAAUUAAAUAUCAUAAAAUCAAAUUUUGCAAUAAUAAUUGUCAAUCACCAUCAAGCACUCAAUUUCACAAAUAAGCAGUCAAUUUUACAUUUCAAUUCAACCACGACGAUUAGCAUAAAAUUUCACUAACCAACUAUCCCGGCACAAUUUACGCUAAUAAAAAUUAGUUAAAUAAUUCUCGAGAAAAUAAAUUAUUUUAAUUUAAUUAACUUAACCACGAUUAAAUAAACUAACCAUGGUUAACUAAACUAACCUAAGGUAGUUAAUCCCAAUCAAACUAACCCCUAACUAAACUAAUCUAACUAUCUAGUUCAUCUAACUAAACUAACUAGUUACACUAACUAAAUUACACUAAUCCUAAUUAAGACUAAACUAAUCCUACUAAGUGAAAUUAACUUCCUAAUCCAUGAUUAGGGUAUUAACUCACCGAAUUAAGGCGGCAUCAAGUCCACAGCGACGGCGGCACAAAGGUGGUGAGAUCCCCCAACUACAGCGUCACCAACAAAGGAUUGGACGAUGCUGAAAAAGCCAAGUGAAGCCCAUAGCUAAAGGGCUGGCUUUGGUUUUGUGGGCUGGCUAAAGGCACGACUAGGCUUGGCUAGACGGGCUAACGGGCACGGGGGCAGUUUCGGCUAGGGCAAACAGGGGUGGACGGUGGCGAUUGGUGAGCUUGGGUUGAGCUGAGGCAAUCCAGCGAAGCUGGCGAACUGCUGGCUGGACACGACUAGCGGGCUCGGUGACAGCAUGAGGCGGUGAGGCGGACUAGUUGGGUGGUGGAUGGCGCUGACAGCCAGGCGAGGACUGGUAGUGCUAUGGUCAUUGGACUGGACGACGCGAGGCUGACUGGCUCUGAGCUGGUGGUUUCAAGGGAAUGAAAAUGAAGAAGAAUUGAGGAAGAAGUGAAAAAGCUAAAACAGAAGCAACUAGUUGGCUGGUAGGGAGAAGAUGCGCAUGAGGAGGGGAACAAGAAGCCAAGAGGGUCAAACAUGCAGCCAAUGGGAAUCAAGGGUGAAAUAUCUCACACUCAAGUGCAAGGCCACAAAGUCUUCAGCCCCCAAAUGUCGACGGGCCAACAAAUGGCUGAUUUCCUCUUAUUUCCCUCACAAACAAACUCUUUUUAAUGGCCAAAUAAUCCCUUUUAGUUGCCCAUCCGAAUAUCCUUGAUUUUAAUUUGCCAAUUUGAUAUUUUCGCAAAAUUUCGAGCUCAACGGAAUUUUUUCCAAAAGAUGAGACGAGAUCUUAAAAAUAAAUCGUGACAUGCUCGAACGUUCGAUUCUCAAAAUCGAGUUCAAUUUCAUGGUUAAAAUCAACCGAAUGCGAUUUUAGUACAACCUAACCUACUGGGUGGCUUUUAGAGAUUUUAUUGCGUUUGACCCGUGGUCGAUAAUUUUCGAUCCACAUUUGUGCAUCUCCAACUCGUAAACAAUGUUUGGUUGUCGUAAAAAUCGCAAGAUUUCAAUUAUGGGCACUAAAUAUAAAAUCGAUAAAAAAAUCACGUUAGUACCGUUCGACGUGAAUUUUGCAAUCACGCGGAAUCACCCACAAUUCAAUUACGUGGUUCCGUCGAAUCAACCUAUAUCUGAUUACUAAUCGAUUAUAAUGGUGUUGUAUUGACCCUUGCCGAUUAUUACGGUCAAGCGAUCGAUUUCCAAUUGAAUUCUUAAGUUUGCCGUAUUUAUACCCCUUAACGGCUUCACCUAAUAGGUUAGUUAACUCUUGAGUGGUCAACUUGGAGAAAUAUGACCAUAGGCGCGUCGACGAAAUGUCUAUUUCAUAUAAUCGAGACCGAAUCGAAUUUUAGAAUGUCACACCGAAUCACCCACCUACUAGAGGGAUCCCUGCUCCAAUACCAUUUGUCACGGGUCAAUAAUUUCCUUGGCUAUGGAUUAACCCAUGCGGCACCUGGCAAACGGAAUUCACCAAGCCAACCUUCCUUCUAUAAUUGUUCCAAUUAACAAUACCGCGAAUAGCUCUUUUCAUACAAGAUCGUAUCACGCCCAGCUUGGCUCGGACGUUUAGUCCAUCAAGCGAAACAACAGCCCUCUUUAGGGUCAACAACUGAUUUUGGCCUACCAUGACCUCAUCAGGAGAGCGGCAUUAGUUCCCGACCAAUUUGUGCACGGGAAGCCAACCCUACCUUCAAAGCUCCUAAGUGAUAUUAUAUUUCCAUCCUAGAACUCCUAACACCAAUCAUCCUAAUGUCACUCUCAUGGACCAGUUGUAUUCAUCCUCUUUACGCCCUCGCUCUUCAUUUGAUAACCCCAAACUUCACUCUCAAGGGUUCACGGGUACGGGAGAAUCACGGACCAUAUCACAAUACAUUUAAUCCCCACCACUCAUCUAGGUCCAAAUUUCAGGACUUUGGUACAAGGUUAAAAACCGUAGGGGGUUCUGGCAAGCAAUAAACAAGAGCAAACAUACACAUUUUGCUUGAUGUUUUGUGCUGAUAGAUCCCAAGCUUUGACACUGGAAAGUCUCUCUUUAACAAGAAAUGUGACAUCCCAAAAUUUUGGAAAAAGAAAUUAUUGGAUGAAAAAUCGGAGAUUAGAAGAAAAAGAAAAAUGAUUACAAUAUUAUUAUUAUUAUUUUUCUCUUUCCUCAUUCCUCUCCUUUCCCCUACGUCCGCCCCACUCCCCACGUAUCUCUCUCUCCCUCACGUUUUCUUCUCCCCUCCUUCGCACGCAAUUUCCUCCCCCUCUUUUUUUCUCUCUUUCUUCUUUUUCUCCCUCUCUCUCCCACUUUUCCACCCCCUCACGUACGCCAACUUCUUCUACCGCAAUUUCCCCCCAAUUUCCCCUCUAUUAUGUUAUUGUUUCUCUCCCCUUUCCCCCCUUCCUCCUCUUCUUCUUCUCUUUUUCUCUUUAGUUUCUUUUCUGUUUUGCUUCCAAAACAACACCAUGUGCUAUUGUUUUUGCCCCAAGCUAGCCAUCACCUUGCGCCAUGGCCUUGGGCCAUCACUAUCCACAAGCCGCCAUCCACCGCUGAAGAGCAGCACCACCCGUCCGCGAGCUGUCCGCCAGCCGUUCGUGCCAAAUCAAAAACCACCUCCGCCGAAACCCAUUUUGUCGAGCGCUUCCAUGAUGUUUUAGACAUAAUUGUGCGUAACCCUCGCCACCGCCGUCACACUCAUGUCGUUGGAAUUGUCGUUGGGUGAGUUUAGCUCCUAAUCUUUUGAUUAGUGUCUAAACUUGCUUAGGAGGUUGAUUUAUGCUUAAGGGUUGUUUAGACUAACUUAAGUAUGGAUUAGUUAUAAGUUAGAAUGGUUAUAUUAGCAUUAGAAUGGAUUAAUGUUAGUCUGAUUCAUGAGAUUAACAUGUUUGAAGAUGAUUUGGGUGAAAACAAAGGCUGUUCUUCAAAACCAGUUUCUAGAUUUUUGCUGUUAGCCAUUUUUGUAGACUGAAAUUGGUUAUGAAUUUGAGAUUGAGGUCUUCUGGAAAAACGUUUUAGACAUCCUCAGCUACAACAUAUAUUUUUAUCAAUUUUUUUGGGGAUUCAAAAGAAUGAGAUAUCAGCUCUGUCAUUUUCAAAUAGAACUGCAGUUUUCGCUGGAACUGGUGACCUUUCAAGAUUCUAAGAGUUUUUAUCGACUCUUAAGUUCUGAAUUUCAAAAUAUUUUCUGCACAAAUGUUGUUUGUAACCUCUUCUAGUUUAACAUACUCAAAUUUCAGAUUAAACAAACAUUUUUAAGACCUCGAACCAAACUGAUUACGGAAAACUGACUUUCUGGGAACGAACCUAGCUUUGGUGCUAGAUUGAGCGAUUUACUGGGACGAAUCUAGAAGGAUAUGGGCUUCGGUAUCUCAUGAAAAAUGUUCAAUUAUGGGUUCUUUAUAACAUAUUCAAAUUUGGGAAUUUUCCAAGCUUGAUUAGUUAGGUUUCUGGAUUUAAACUUAGAGAUGCGCGAAGGCCCGGUUUCUGCAAAUUAGGACUGAUUUUAGUUUGGUGAUGGUUCUUGAUGUUUUGCUUGCUUUAAUUAGUGUUUUUAAUGACUGGGCCUAUUAUGGGAUAAAAUUGUGUGGCAUAGAAUGUGACGUGUCACAUCGAUUUUAUCUUGUAAUUGGGACCCGUGUGAUUGAUCGAUAUAUACUGUGUAGCGCACUAAUGUGCAAGAACGCAUGCGAAUCAUGGCAUCUUUGGUUCUAGUCAUGCAUGAGUUAAGCACAAUAUUUAUGGCACGCACGCAUGAAUCAAUAACGUGCAGGGUGUAGCAAUGGCUAGGUGAGGUCGCUUGUAACACAAUUCAUAUGUGAUUGAUUAACUGCAUCAUCUAAUGGCCAUGUGCAUUGUGUGUAUCUUGUUGAGUUAUGACAUGCAGGGUAUGGCAUACUAGGUAAGGAUGUAUGCGAAUUGACUAUUGAUUGUCAGUUGUUAAUCCUUGGUUUGUUUGUGGGGUGGUUCUGAAGAAAUACCCCUAAUUGAGUUAGUGUACUAAUCAUGGGAUUAGGGGAAGAACUCGCUAAGAUUUAUAUCUCACUGAUUAUUGAAUAACCGUUUUCAGGUUCCUAGUGUGAAUAACCCGGAGCUUGAAGCGGAAGGGUUAGGAGCAUAGGUGGCUCAGUAGUCCUUUAUGAGAUAGACCUUAUAUAUAAGCUUGAGGUGUUUAUGAAAGUGUAUUUGAUUUGAAACUGGUUGUCCUACUUUUCUAUCCCAUGUUUGUUGUUGUCAGGGAAUUAGUUAAUUCGCUUCCGCAUGUGCAAUAAAAUGAAAAGGGUCGGCGACAAGUCCUGGAAAUGUUGCAAAAUUCUAUCAACCAUUGAGGGACGUGCACAUGCUCAAGGUUCGGGAUGUGACAAGAAAAGCUCUAGACAACCUUCAAUUAUGCCGAGACUAACCUCAUCACCUCCUCAUAUUCGCUUCUUCUUCCCCUUCUUCUCCUACAUCCCCUGUGUCGUCUUCCUCUGCUUCCUCCCUCAUGCUGCAGAGUCUCAAAUCCAAGAUCAAGAACUGCAAGUCCUGUUGAAGCUCAGGCAAUCCUGGCGAGACCCAUCGUCCCUCGACCACUGGGUGGCCUCCAAUUCAUCCUCCCACUACGCAUGGCCCGAGAUCGAAUGCCAAGAAGGCUCAAUCACUGAGCUCAAUCUCGUCGACCUGAACAUAAAUUAUUCGAUCCCCCCAUUCAUCUGCGACCUCAAGAACCUGACCAAGCUCGAUCUCUCCUACAACAAUAUUCCUGGAGAGUUUCCCACUGUUCUCUACAACUGUUCCAAGCUCGUGUACCUCGACCUGUCCCAGAAUUACUUCGAAGGUCCUAUUCCAUCCGAUAUCGAUUGCAUGGUCGAUCUUCA
This 73276-nucleotide long non-coding RNA is filed under the name Eucalyptus grandis. RNAcentral describes it as "long non-coding RNA (EGRA_LNC001300)". The record is from RNAcentral. Lineage: Eukaryota; Viridiplantae; Streptophyta; Magnoliopsida; Myrtales; Myrtaceae.